UUCAUCUCAGCAGCCAGGAGACUUGCUCAAGACCAGCAACCUCUGCUUCUUCAAUACCACAAUGGCCCUCUUCUUUCCGGAAAAAUCUCCAUUAAUCUCAUCUGGUACGGAAAGUUCAAGCCUUCCCAACGCGCCAUUGUUUCUGAUUUCAUUACCUCCCUCUCUUCCUCCAAAACCACCCCCCACCAACCCUCUGUUGCGGCGUGGUGGAAUACCAUCGACAAAUACUACCUCCUCAUUAAGUCCAAGAAAUCCACCUCCCUCGGUCUCUCCCUAGGCACCCAAAUCCUCGACGAGAACUACUCUUUGGGUAAAUCACUGACCAGUCGAAAUCUCAAACAGUUGGCAGCAAAGGGGCAGCAGAGCAACGCCAUUAACGUAGUCUUGACAUCUUCUGAUGUAGCCGUUGAAGGGUUCUGCUCCAGCAGGUGCGGAACACAUGGGUCUUCUCCCAGCUCCAAGACUGCUAAGGUUAAUGGCAAGAUCUCCAAGUUCGCAUACAUCUGGGUGGGUAACUCCGAGACUCAGUGCACAGGUCAAUGUGCAUGGCCAUUCCACCAGCCCAUUUACGGACCCCAGAGUCCACCCCUGUCCGCACCCAACAACGAUGUGGGUAUGGAAGGUAUAGUUAUGAACCUGGCUAGCCUCUUGGCUGGAACUGUUACGAACCCCUUUGGAAAUGGAUACUACCAAGGUUCCGCAGAGGCUCCCCUGGAGGCUGCAUCGGCCUGCCCUGGGAUUUAUGGGAAGGGCGCGUACCCUGGCUAUGCCGGAAAGCUGUUGGAGGAUCCCACCACAGGUGCUAGCUAUAAUGCCAAUGGUGUGAAUGGGAGGAAGUACCUGCUUCCUGCAUUGCUUGAUCCUUCAACUUCCACCUGUUCUACUCUGGUCUGAUAGACUGAUACUACUAUGCUUCUCUAAAUUCAUUUAGUUGUAUAGCACGGAGACGAUAACCGAUUCUUUGUUUGUAUUUGAUUAAUUACCAUUAUGUAUUCUUUUUCCCGUCUGAAUAAAUGAAAUUCCAAUGUUUUCUUUCAUAUCCAACCAGUUCAGCCUUCCUCUGAUAUUUUUUCUUCACAUCCCAAUCCCAACAAAAGCCGCACUGCGCCCUCCUCUGCUAUUCAAACUCGUAUGUGGUCAAAAUCAUUAAUGAGAUCUACCAUUGGAGAAAGCUUUAUUAUAAUAAGGAAAAUUUUAAGCAAAACCUUUAGGACAUGGAAUGAUCUGCUGCUUUUCUCGUCCUACAUUUUUAAUUUAAGACUUAAAUUUCCAACCUCGUCUACAUGCCAUCAUUAUUUAUUCAGAAGUUGCAAUUGAAGAAACGUUUAUAGCACGUUUUGCAGGAAUAUUAUUAAUAAUUUAAGUAUGUAACAUUCUCAAAAGGCAGUCUAAGAAGAUGUAUACUUCCAACCUUGGAUUUUGUCACAAUUAUUCAUGGCCCAGCCUCCACGUGAAAUUCUAAUAGAUGUUCAAUAAUUCAAACGGAAAUGUGCAAUAGAAUAUGUCAACCCUUCAAUGUGAGGAAGGUUUGGCUAAAAUUUUAGCUUAAAUUAAGAUUUUAGAGAAUAUAACAUCAUAAUUUUUUUUCAUGUUUGUCGUAAGGAAGAAAUAAAAAGGGCCUUAUCACGUUGGUGAUAUAAAUUUUCUAAUUUAUUUCAAUGAUUUCUUUUUUCUCAUGAAAAAAAAAAUAAAAAUCCUCAUAAUGAAUGCAAGUUGGUUUUCGAGAUAAAAAUAUGUUGGCUAGAUGUGUAAUAUAUGAAAAAUUAGAAAAUAAAAUAUUCAACAAAUUUUCUCCUGUUAAUUCAACAUUUCUCAAUAUUUUUAUAAAUUUAAAAUUAUUACUUUUAAAAUAUUAUUUAUAAAUUAAUUUAAAAUAUUUAGUAUUAUUAUUCUAUAACAAAAUGACCUAUUGAUUUUUCUUUAACUUUUUAAUAUCUAAUAAAAAUAAAAUAUUAAAUCAACAAACUAUUUAAUACUUAAUAUUAUUAAAUACUAUUUAAUUCUAAAUUCUAUUUAAAAUUAACUAAAAAGAAAAAGAAAAUAUCAUCUUAAUCAUGUCAUAUCAAUUCUCAAAAUUAGAGUUUGAGGGCUUAAUUUUUUUAACCUGGCAUCAUUUGGAUUGAUACAACUUUUAUAAUAAAUAAAUUUUUGCCAAAAAGAGUACAUAUAAAAAUAAUUUAAUUUCACACAUAAAGAAUAUUGUGGGGUCUAGGUCUCUUUGUAAAAAGUUACUUUAUAAAAGUAUUUUCUUAACUUAAUUUAUAGAAAAAGCUCCUAAAUCAUGAAUCUCUCAUUUUUCAUAUGUUUAAUAAAAAAUUUUUAUAAAAUUUCUUGAAUUGUUUGAAACAUAUGCUAUAUGAUUUCAAUGAUAUUUCAAGUAAAACCUUGAUCAACUAACUUUCUAGAAGACAUAAAAUUUUUAGAAAUCUAGAACUUUAGGAGUAGCAAUAACAAAGAUAUUUAAGUGGCAUACAAGUCAGAUUGUUUUUGAGGAGUUUCAAACUUCAAAUCAUAACCGGUCCAAAUGUUAUACAUUUGAGCAGGAAACAGAAAGACUGUCACUAAUUUGGGGUGUUAGUUUAGCCAAAUUAAGCUAGGGCCAUAAGAUGUUUGGGACCACCUCGAUUUUAAGUCAUUUUGCCAACAACUAUUAAGGCAUUAACAACUAACUAGGCAGGCCGGACCCUUAUCCAUUUCUAUAAAAGACAUCAUCUGUAUGGCUACCGACCUAAAUUGAUUGCAUGCCAAAUGAACAAAUUUCAUACCCAAUAAUCACAUGUAACUUCUAAUUAGCUGAGUGUAAUUGUUUUGUCAUUAAAAUUGCUGUCCCGGUCCCAUCACAUGGUGCGAAUACAUCGUGAUUUGUUAACUUAAUUGGAAAUAUUACAAUCCAAACAACUAAGAUUGUGGGUAUUAAUGGAAAAUCCAAUAUUGCAAUGUUGAUGGUUGCAACUUGCAGCUUGGAUCUUAUACUUAUAGUCUCACACUCGUUUCACACGUAGUCGAUAUGAUCAUGAAUAACGGGGUCCAUCCCCGAGGGCCCCGUGAUAACAACAGAGCACUGAGCACCUAAAAAUUAAAAAUGGUGUGCAUGUAGCCGCCGCAAGGAAAACCAUGCCAGUGUUUGGAAUAAUUUUGGCUUUUGUGUCUUUCAAGCUAGCCGCUUCUCCAGAGAGAUGAAAGCACGGUAUCGAUCGAAUCAAGUGGAUCAGGGCCCGGAGUUUUAAAUGGCGGGUCGGCGCACACUGAUGUUUUGAGCCAUCUAAAACCAUGAGCAUAUUGAUUCCUUGAGUUAUUUAGAAAAUGGGGAUGUGCUUUCAGCGUAUACAAACUCACCUGUGACUAUCUUACUCUAAAGCAAAUAAUCACGGACGAGUGCUAACCCUAGGAUCGUUAUCUUCACAUGCAAGGAUUACCUACUUGUUAUUCCCCCUGUCCCUUGACUUUGGGUUUUAUAUUUUUGGACGAUCAGAAAGAAGGAAACACCUACCCUUGAUAACCACGUCAUCAGGCACAACCUGGCGAAAACUGCCACGCGUUUGACACUAAAAGUGGUCAAUUAAUCAACGCGGCACGAUUUCAAUGUUUCUUCCAUCACUCCCUUUUGGCCAGCGCCACACGCGCACUCCAUGAUGACACCACCUUUCUAUGACUAUAUAAGUAUCGCAACAGUCGACUCUUCCUUCACACUCAUUCCUCACCAAUCCAGCUUUUCACACUCUCUGCAUCACCUUCACCCCACUACUUUACCUUCUCAAUGACUUCUACUUACCAUUUCUCCAUCUUUGUUUCACUUCUCCUACUCUCCUGCCUUCCCAACCUCACCUCCGCCACACCUCGAAAACUCUUCUCUCUUGUUCAAGAGCAACCUCUCAUUCUCAAGUACCACAACGGGCCACUCCUUAAGGGCAACAUCACCCUCAAUCUCGUUUGGUACGGAAACUUCUCCCCCAUCCAACGCUCCAUACUCGUCGACUUCCUCCAGUCUCUCAAUUCCCACACCACCACGCCCCACUCCGUCUCAUCGUGGUGGCAGACCAUCCAGAAGUACAAAGGAGUCUCCUGCACCCUCGCCGUUGGGAAUCAGAUCCUCGAUGAAGACUACUCUCUAGGGAAGUCAUUGCGAAGUUCAGACAUCAUUUCCUUGGCUUCUAGAUCAAACCAAAGGAGCGAAAUAACCGUGGUGUUCACAUCGGCAGACGUGGCGGUAGAAGGGUUCUUCAUGAGCCGGUGCGGGACUCACGGGUCAACUCAGAGUAAGUGGGCCUACGCGUGGGUGGGUAACUCGGAGACUCAGUGUCCGGGUCAGUGCGCAUGGCCAUUGCACCAGCCCAUGUAUGGACCACAGACUCCGCCGCUGGUGUCUCCAAACGGGGACGUGGGAAUUGACGGAAUGGUGAUCAAUUUAGCGACUGUUUUGGCGGGAACGGUGACUAAUCCGUUUGAUAACGGCUACUUUCAAGGAUCGGCUAGCGCGCCGUUAGAGGCGGUGACGGCUUGUACAGGUAUAUUCGGGACAGGAGCUUAUCCAGGAUAUCCCGGCGAAGUUCUGGCGGAUGGAACGACUGGGGCUAGCUAUAAUGCUGUUGGGGUGGAUGGGCGUAAAUACUUAUUGCCGGCGAUGUGGGACCCUCAAACCUCCACCUGCAAGACAUUAGUCUGAAGCCUGAACCUAAUGGAUGAUUUGUGUUCUGUGUGGUACCAGCAAUUGUUUGUUUGGAGGAGCUUUGUACUCCCAGCUUUGAAGUUUGUUCUUUUUUUUCAUCAACCUUAUCAUAUGUAAAUGUUUAUGUAUCAUUAAUUAAAUUUGUUUCAUUAGUCAACCAAUCCUCUGUCUCCUUUGCCUUCUAAAAAGUUUCAAAUUUUUUCUAACAAUUUUGGGUCAUUAGGUUUUGGUGGAAGUUUCAAGUUGACUAACCAGUUAGCUUCUGGAUUUAACUUAACCCCAUAUUAAGCUGAGGAACCAAUCUGGUUUUAGCACAUGUGCAUUGAUUGGUAUUCUUUAUAAUGGAAUCUAACUGCUUUCUUUUUUACCCCAUGAGAAGAUUUCACCAUAUUGUCCUCCAUUCUUGCACACAACCGUAUCAUCUGACUGAAUUUUCUAUGAAAUAAUAAUUAUUUUGGUUUUUUUUUUUUUCAUUUUUCUUUUUUCUAACACAUAUAAAGUAAAAAAAGAAAAAAUUAUUAUUAAAAUAAAUUACAAAAUUUAUUUACAAUAGAAUUAAAUUAAAAAAAUUAAAGAGAUAGGACGAAACCGGAAAUUCUCAUAUUUGUUUCAUUCGAAUCUUUUUAGGGUAGAGGAAAAUAUGUUUAAACGAUGGAAUGGGAUUGGGAUAGAGUAACAAUUCGAAUCCACCUCGCUAUCAUUCCUGGAUGUUUGAGCAAUGGGUCUGGUCGAGCAGCCCGACCUGUGGACACUGGGAUCCUGGAGCACAGCGCUGUCCUUCUAGUUAAUAAGUUGGAAUCAUGGUUCGACUUGGUUUCUGUUCACGUCGUAGCCAUUUGCGAUUUGCUCAGUAACACUGGUGACUUAAUCAUGGGCCGUGGGCUGCUUUCAAGACUUGGGCUUUUCAAUUGGAUUCGGCCCAAUUGGGUUUGGACUCAGGUGAUGAAUGAGCCGGCCCAAUCUGGAAAAUGUUGCAUUUAAAGUUUGGACCAUAUUAUCUGUUGGAAGGAAGUUCUGAUUUCUUAAAAUUUUUAUGUUUUUGAAGGUUUAAGGAGUGAGGACUUGAGUGUGGAUUCAUCCCAGAGCAUAGUUUGAUGGAAUGGCUGUGUACAUUCGCCUGAUUCUUUGUAAUAUUAUGUAAAAAAAAAAAUUGAGAUUAAAGAAAAAGUGAAAAACACAUAUGACCAAGCUGAGGCGCUGAAAAGAAAAAAGAAACAAGGCUUUUUAAGGCAGAAGACGGUGAUCUCCUCUCAGUUUCCAGUUUCCGCCAUCCACAGCCAAAUCUCAUGGAUCCCCAUCAACACCAACCCAUUGGACAAGCAGACGAAACCUCACCCCCUCCCUCCAACACCGCUACCACUUCAUGCCGCUGCUGCGGCGGCCCCACCACAUGCCCACCUCCACCGGCAUGGUCCGACAUCUCUCCGCCACCCCCCUACCGCCCCAUCCGCGCCCCCGCCAUCAACCUUCCUCCUUCCAACUCUCAACAAGCUAUCAUCCUAGCCCCCGUUCCUCAAGCCCAGAAGACCCCCGUUGUCUCUCCGCCCUAUCUUUUCCAAAUCCCCGUCAAGCGAAUCCAGACCAGACGACAUUCGCCAUUUCCAUGACUCCGAUUCCGGGAAGAACUUCUUAGGUUUCGUCGUUUCCCUUAGCGAAUCCAUUCGCUCCCACAAAAUUUCCGACCCUUGCCACCAAUCACCAAUCCUCAAUUCUAUUCUCUCCAUCCUUCAAUCUCUAAUCGACUGGGUCGACGAAAUACCUCCCGUUCAACAAUCUUCCCGUUACGGUAAUCUCUCUUUUAGGGUUUGGCAAAGUCGGUUGUUCGAUAAUAGCGAGCAACUGAUGCUCCAAUUCCUCCCCGAUGAUCUCCGGUCGGCUACCGUCGAACUCGUCCCUUACUUUGCCGAUAGUUUUGGGAAUUCGAGUCGAAUCGAUUAUGGAACCGGUCAUGAGACCAAUUUUGCUGCGUGGCUUUAUUGUUUGGCUAGAUUAGGGUUGCUCAAGGAAGAGGAUUACCAGGCUCUUGUUUCUAGGGUUUUUGUGAAGUACCUUGAAUUGAUGAGGAAAUUGCAAUUCGUCUAUUGCCUUGAACCUGCGGGAUCCCAUGGAGUUUGGGGUCUGGACGACUAUCAUUUUCUGCCAUUUAUAUUUGGGUCGUCGCAGCUGAUCGAUCACAAGUAUAUGAAACCCAAGUCAAUUCAUAAUCAGGAUAUUCUGGACAACUUCUCCAAGGAGUAUAUGUAUAUUUCUUGCAUUGCAUUUGUGAAGCAGGUGAAGAAAGGCCUAUUUGCAGGGCAUUCCCCAUUGUUAGAUGAUAUUAGUGGUGUAGCUAAUUGGAACAAGGUGAAUAGUGGGAUGCUCAAAAUGUAUAAAGCUGAGGUGUUGGAGAAGGUUCCAAUUAUGCAGCAUUUCCUAUUUGGGUGGCUCAUCAAAUGGUAUGAUCACUGUUAAUGAGUAAUUAGCCCUGUAUGUGAUUCAUGCAUUUUUAGUUCAUUAUAAGUCAUCCACACUUUGCAUCAUGUUUAAUUGGGAAUCUUAAAAUUAUUACGAGUUUUUAUGGUGUUUUAUGAGCAUAAUCGUUAUAUUUAUAUCGUCUAUAUCAGUAACCUAUAUGGAUAUUUGGUGCUAAACCUGAUAUUUUUGGUCCCUGGAUAUUCAUCUAUUAUUUCAAUGACAAUGUUGGUUGAGGAACAACUCUAGUGUUGAUACCUUGAUCCAUGGGUUUUGUCAGGCUGAGACUUUCAUUAGCUAUUUGAUCCUCACCACCACUGAUUGCUAUACUGAAAUUUUUUUACCUAUGAUUUCUGUUAUCAUUUUAUUUAAAGCAUAGAACCCUACUUGUUAGCUAUAUGAUGUAGAAGUGAUGCACUGAGUCAAUGUUCAUGAUGAAAUAGAACCAAAGAGAUUGGCAUUAUGUUGGGUUGGUCCAUUUUUUUGGAUUCAUUAAAUCUAUCAAAAAUAAAUAAAAUUUGGAUUCAUUAACCAAGUUACUACAUAUGUUCCUUUGAUAUUUAUUAUUUGAGUAAUGUGUGUACAAACUACAAUAAAUAUCAGCCUUUUCAUAAAAAUUUUGCUUGAGUUUUCCUUAUCUCUGCACUUUUAACAUGUGUUAAUCUUUCAACGGUCUGCUUUAGUCCUCAUUCUAAGCUUGUUAAUGUGCCUUUACUUCAAACAUCUUUUCCCACCUUCUGAGUCAUUUCUUUUAAGUCAUGUAUCUCAUCUUAUAGAAAUUCAAGUGUAAUCUAAUGUCUUGAGCCAUUUUAAUUAUUUUAGUUUGAUUUGAUUUAAAAAAAAACUUUAAUGAUCAAAACUUUCAAAUUAUAAUGCAUUUGGCUAGUGAAUAUUACUUAUAAGCCCAAUGUCUCUAGACAAAUAUUUCUGGGUUUUUAAUACAUCUCAUGAGUUCCAUUUGGUAUUCUAGCCCUUUUAGCUAAGUGGUUGCAUUUCUACAUGGGAGGUCUGAGAAUCUCAGAAAGCUAAAACUAAAACAAAGUGAUUUAGUUAGUUAGUGCUUAUAUUCUGACUACUGGUUGUGUAAUAAGCUAAAACUAAAACAAACUCUGAUUUUGUGCCUGACAGCUUGUGCAGACGCUGGUAUAGUGUUUCCUCCAUUUCCAUCAACAACAAAGUCACCAUACCAUACCGGGCUUAAGGGAGGAAACAACCAUGGAAAACUGCUCUGAAGCCCUAAGAGUUUCAAUAAACUUCUGAACAGCCCGUGAUGCAUGAAUUCUUAACCAAGUCUCCAGCUAACACUGCUUGGAGACUCUAAUACCCAAAGUUGACAGAGAUAAGGGCUAAGAUUGUUUUACAGACAGUGAUAUAACAUGCUCAAGGUGAAUGUAAGAUGAGAUAUUCCUGGAUUUAUUAGGAUUGCCAGAAAGUCGAGGAGACUGAACAUUGAAGUAUGAACUCUAUGUGGAGAUGGUGCAAUUCCAGGGGGUUGUGCCCAGAGAUUCAAUGUGUCUAGGCUUCUUUCCCGGUAUACGGAUCAGCAUGUCAUUGCAACAAGCACAGAUUCCAGAAGACCACUGAGAUGGACUAUCACUGGUGUGACGAUGAACAGAGAGGUCACUGUAAUGAGGAAUAAUCUCUAUAUCCUAAUCUGACUGUCCUAAAGGAAUAUAGGGGGUGGUACAUAACUGAUGAUGCAUCUGAUCGGUCAUUACUGGGCUGUGGCACAUGAUGCCAUUCUGAAGCAGGUGGCAUGCUCUUGUUAUCAUUCGACUGAGGAAAGACUGAUGGCACAGAUUGUCCUUUGGCAACCCUCAAUAGAAGCAUAAGUGCGUUUUCGAGGCUCUCCAACAAGUUCAUCAACAUGAGCAGGAGGGAGGUCUUUUAAAGUGUUUUGGUUGUUUUUCCCAUCAAUAGGAGUGGUUCUAUACAGGGGUGAGGGGAGCAAUGACCCAUCUAAAGGUACGUACCUAAAUGACUUUUUUCUAAGAGGAACCCAAAGCCCCCAUUGGUUGGACUAGUUGUCUUGGGUUGUAUUUAACUAUGAUACUCCUUUGGUUAUUUCCUUCUUUGAUAGACAAGGAUAGCACAAAAUUCGUGAUAAUCAAAUAUGAAAUUGUCUAAUGCGUGAUAAAGUUUAAUUCAAGACCUUGCAAAAUUCAAAUAUGCACUUUCCAUCCACAAGAUUUAGCAAACUGAUGGGGCCUCUACCUUCUCUGUACCCUCCAACCGUACUCUGGCGUUUUGUGCUAUGGCACUAUAGACCUUCCAGGCUUUUAGUGCUUCAGGGAAUCCCAUUAUUCAUCUUCUAACCAUAUUUAAGAAAAUAUUUUGUUUUUUGUUGUGCUUUUUUAAGUGGUAUUUGCUAUCAACUUAGUGAUACGAGUCUUUCUUAUCUUGAGAUGUUUCCUUUCAAGGCAAAAAACCUAAAACAAAAGUUUGAAGAGCAACCCUUUUACAUAUUUUUUGGACAGAACGAAGAGAAGGAAAACAAAGGUCUUUUGAUAACGUAGAGUAAAUGUAUCUUUCUUUAACAAAUUCUCUUAUUUGUAAUUCUUUCUCAAGAAAGAUUUUUUCAGGUGAUAUUUGUUUUUUUAACUUUUUACUGAAAAUAAUUUAUUUUUAAAAUUUAGGUUGUUUGUUUUUCUAUUUUUUCAUGACUUAUUAUAAAUUUUUUACUAAUUAGAAAAAACUAAAAUAUAUAACUUUUUUUGAAUAAAAAAAAAUAAUAUAUUGAGUUUUUUUACUUUUUAAUAUUUAAUAGAAAUAAAAUACUAUAAAAAUAAAUAACCUAAUAUUUAACAUUAUAAACAUUAUAGUUUUAUUUAGAAUUAAGUAAAAAAACAAACAUCACCUUAGUAUCUUUGCUAAGUGAGGAAAAUUGUUUUUUUAGUCCUCUCCCUAUACAAUGGUUUACCUCGGUGCAUUUUUAUUUUUUAUUUUUUUAUAAAAUUCUUUUCAUUUGCCUACAUUAAUUUGGAUCUACUCAACUAUAUUUACAUGUCCUUCUGAUGUUUUUCUAAAUGCUUUUGCAGGAAGUGUAUAUAUCACCAAAAGUUAGGGAGAGAAAACGACGAACUGCGGUGGUGCGACGGGUUAAAUGAGAUUGCAUUUAGGCUGGCGUUCUGCAGCUUAACCCAACUGAAACUUGAUCGCAUAGUGACUAUCAUCAUUAUUGAUCACCGAAAACUUCGGUAUGUAUAGGCCUAUUGACACUGACGCUGAUACAAUAGUCAUAAAUAUUAUUUAUUGUUAUAUGUCUUCGCACACAGAGGACAUAUUUUCUGAUCAACAAGUGGCAAUGGCAUCUAGUUAACAUAAUUUUUGUAACAUAUAUCACAAAUGUGAUUCAUCACUCUUCCCCUUUGGAGAAGUAGUUGUGUGAUAGUGCAGCACCCCAUAAAGAGAACGCAAUGCUAGAGAAAAAAUUGGUACCUGUUUUUAUGAGACAAUGGGGCGGCGAACAUAUAUAAAAAAGAUAUGAACCCAUAGAGAUAUUGAAAAAAAUAAAAACGAUAAAGAUAACGUGGUAUAAUUAGUGUCCAUAUAUUUGGCACAUUUUUAAUGAUUUUAUACUUUUCGAGAUCGCCACAUAAAUAAAAAUAUCUUUUAGUCAAAUGAUCAUUUUUACAUUUUCAUGAUAUUGUUAUUAUUUUAUGAUAUGUCUUCUAAAAGCAUUUUUAAUGAGAAUUUUAAAUAUUUUUACAACAUAUUUAACAUUCUUAAUCUAUCAUUAUUAUUCUAUAAAAAUAUGAAAUUUUAUUUCAUAAUUGAAGUAAGAAAACAAAAACAUGUGUCUUAAGGAAAGUAAAAGAAAAAAAUAAGUAAAAGUAAAAAGUAAAUUUAAAAUUAAUAAACUAUUUCUAUAUAUUUAUUUAUUUAUAAUUAAAUCAUUUAAAUAUAUAUAAAGUUGUCAAAUUAAUUUAAAUUAUGUGUAAUCUUAUUUCCAAAAUUCUACCAUAAACCAAACCCCUGAACAUCUUUUUUUUUCCUUUAUUUAAUAUUAUUGUCUGAAACAAUAUUAAAGAAACAAACCACAACAUGAACCAUAGUAAGAAAUAUGGAAACAAGGCAGGAAAGGUGCAAAAAACUAGAUUGGAAAGUUGAGAUCUAGAGAAGCACUUGUUCAAAUAUUUUCUCCAAAUUCAAGUAAGAUGAUCCAUCUGGACCAGUGGUAGCCACUUCUGCCCUAUGCUUCCACUCCAUGGUUUUCUUUUUCAUUACUUUGCCUUUCUCUCCCACCAUCAACUCUCUCACAAGCUUUGCAACUUCAUCCCUCUUAACAUCACUGUCUAUCUCCAUUCCUACGCCCCACUCAGUGCAGCAGUAACGACAGUUGGUUUGCUGCUCUGCAAAAAAUGGCCAACAAAUCAUAGGCACUCCAGCGCAUAAACCCUCAAUUGUGGAAUUCCAGCCGUUAUGAGUUAAGAAGCCGCCAAUGGCCUGGUGCGUGAGAACUUGCUCUUGAGGACACCAACCUGCUAGUAAACCCCUGUCUUCUGUUUCUGCCACGAAUUCUGGUGGCAGAAUGGCCGACUCACCAGACACGAGAUCUGGCCUAAGAAUCCACAAGAAGCUUUGAUUGCUAUUUGCAAGUCCCCAAGCAAACUCAAUCAGUUGCUGGGGAGUCAUGACUGUGAUGCUUCCAUAAUUAACGUAAACAACAGAGUUGGGUUCUUUGGAAUCCAGCCAUUUGAGACACUCAGGCUCUUCCUUCCACAGAUUUGAUCCAAUCAACUUUAGUUCGCUAUCGUGAAUCUGAUCCGGAAGUAGCUGAAGAGGACCAAUGGUGUAGAUUGGGGGAUACAUGGGAGCAAUUGCAUCCAAAACCUCCUGCUCUAAAGCGUCAAACGUAUUGAAAAUGAUGGCAGAAGCCUUGCGAGCCCUUUCAAGCUCACCCAUGGCAAAGUCCAGCAUGAUAUCAUCUGGAUCGGUAGUCCGAAUGAAGCUCGGGAGAUCCUUCAAACGGAUACCUUUCAUGCCCGGUAUCCAAUCAACAACAGUAUCCAAAUACCCAUUUGUUAGAUAACUCUCAUCUGCAUAUCACAGAAGAAGGAAAAAUGAAAAAUCAGAGUCGGUAGGAGACUGGGAUUUGAAAAACUUGUAUUCAAAGCCGAACUUGGAAUAAUACCUUUGAGUGGUGUAAAACCCUUGUCGAUGAGACUGCGAUACUGCACAUAGGCCAUGAAGCCACAAGCACUAGCUGUCCAUAAAAGAAGGUCGGGAAUGCCGAGUUCUUGAGCCGCGUCUAAAGUGAAGCUCAUGACAGCGUCAGAAAAUAUGCAAGUGACGGGAGGACCUCUGUCGUUGAGUUUGGCGAGAAGGCGUCUAAAGGGAGCCAAACAGUUUUUUUUGGUGGAUGCACAGAGGGAAGGGAUGUCUUGGGUUGCGUCGACAUUGGACGGUGGGAGACCAUCGGGAAUGGUUUCGAACUGAAAGGUGGGGAGACCAUUGAGGGAGUUGGGGCCCUGGGCCUUGAGUAAGCGUGUGUGGUUGAACUCUGUGUUGACAAAGGUGAUACGAAAGCCUCUGAAAUGGAGGAGCUUUGCUACUUUUAGCAUAGGAUUGAUGUGCCCCUGAGCAGGGUAUGGAAUGCAAACUGCAUGAGGCUUCUCCAUGGAACCCAUUUUUGCUUUGGGAUGCCCUCCCGAUACAUCUGCCUCCAAUUUUAUAGAGUUUUUGAAUAUGGCAUCUAAGCUGUUUUUUUUUUUUUUUUUUCAAAAAAAAAAAAUCAUUGAUAAUACUGAUUUAAUCUAUGAAAUAAAACCGUCUCUGUCUAUAUUGGUUUUUAUUUGAAGUUGAAUAAAGAACCUCCGUCAUCGGUUUUGGUUCAAGUGUUUUUUAAAAAUCAACUUAAAAUCGCAUGUGCCAAAUCGAUUUAACUUUUUUCGAAAAGUCAAUUUCCGAGGCCACAGAAAGGCGGAAAGCAAGGGAGGUUGGUGGAACACCCUUUCCCUUUUUAAAACGGUACCGAACUCACUAAUUUAAUUGCACGAUCGAAGCUGGAAAUAUUUUGUUAUAAUUAAUCAAUCCUGUGCUGCAGCAACGUCUUCCACCUACACUUUUUAUCUUCAAAUCACAGUCGACUGGAAGGAUUAAGUCAUGCGGGAUCCCUUGUUAUUCAUGUAAAAGAAAAAGCCCGCGUUGGAGCCAGGGACUUCCUGUUUGUUUUUCCUGUCACGAUUGAGUGACCGCUAUCCAUGAAAAGUACGAGAAAGAACGUGACAAACUAGGAUCUUGUCAUGAGCCUCUAUCAUCUUCCGUUGAGAAUAAUGAAUUUACCACCUAUAUAUGUUAAAGCUGAUGCUCUGUUUAAAAAUUUUGGACGGCCGCUGCCCUUCCUAGCAUCAAUAUAUUGCACUGCCACGAAUCCAAAGCAAAUCUUUCUCGUUUGCAUCAGACUUUGUUUAAAAAAUGGAACUCAUAGAACUCCGCAGCUGCCCAACUAAUUAAAUCAGAGGACUAAGUUAUCGUCCAUGAAUUUAUUACUGAUAUGAACGUUAUAUAAUAUAAAGAUAAGAGAAGUGAGAGGGUAAGUUGACCAUGCACUCUCAUCUAGAUAUUAUAAUCUUCAACCAGCUCAUCCCUAAUAGGCCUCCCCUGAUAUUGGCUUCUGACUUCUGUGACUGUCUUGCAUAAUGCAUGAUGUCAAGCGAAGAAAGUGUUGGUAAUUUUUUUACUGGAAUUCAAAGAAUUGGAGAUUCGAACAAAAGAAAUGAAUGAUGAAUGAAAACCAUGUUCACGGUAUAGGAACUGCAGCCAAGUAUUGACUAGCAGGUGGAAUGAUACCAUCAGCGCCGAUUGCCUUGAAUAGUUAGUAUGCAUCCUUACUCCUUACCCAUCAUUAUCCAUCAAUUAUCUAGUAUUUAUUAUGAGUGACCAUAUAUUCGCCCACUUGUGCAGGCCCUGCAGAAGAAUAAAUUGAUGAUAUGAACUACUUUUUUAAAAAUAUCUUCCGAGUCUGGCUUGACAUCGAAAUUGAAACAGAGUAAUAAAUUGUACAAUGCCCAAUUCUCUUGGUCUGUGUGACAGAACGGACAUCUUGCUGAUCACUCCAAAGAAAAGAAUACGCAUUGCACCAUAAAAUAAUACAGUCAAGUAUUAUUGCGUCCCUCUUACGUACAUUAGAUUGAUACACUUUUGGAUAGGUUUCUGAAUUGAGAUACUUUGGAUAGUUUGGGCGGCUGGCUGACUCUCUCGUGCUUGGCCAAAUCCUUAAAACCACCUAAUAAAAUACAAACUAAAUUAAUUCAUGAUAAAAAGAAAAAUAAUAAGAGAAAUAGAAAUAGAAGGAAGAGACAUAUUUUCUUACCUAUGUCUUUAGAUAUGAUAAUUAAUUCACUAAUCUUCAAAAUCUAAAAUUGGCUAAAACUCCAACAACUUUGUAUAAAGUCAUUUUUAUACCCUUUGACUAAAGGACUUAUAUAUUCAUAAUAUCCCGAACUUUACAAAAUCAAUUCAUAAUCCUUGUGGGACAAGGAAUCGUAAAAUAUCAUAUCUUAAUUGAGUUCAAAAUUAACAAGCCAAUGUUAUUAUAUUGAUAUGUUUUGUAGCAUUUUCUAGAUGGUUAACGAGGGAUAUGAAUUUAUUUUAGGGGUUCAAAAAUAAAACAAAAUGGGCAUGUAACAUAAUGGGAACUAUGGAUUUGAUGCAAAUGCCUUUCGAAAUAGAUCAAAUCAUCAUUCUUGCUGUAUAAGGAAAUUUAGAGAAAAAAAUAUGGGUUAAACUUCUUUUAACUUGUCUUAUUUCUCAAUUAAUUAUCACUUAUCAUUAACUACGGAUAAACAUGAAAGGAAUAAAUACCCAUGUUGUUAAAUGAAGAUUUAAUCUCUAAAUUUAGAUAGCAUAUAUUUUUAAAUUUUGAAAAAAAAAAUGUCCCAAAAAACAUGAGGGCCAAGUCUAAUUAGACUCAAAGAUGUUGACAACUUAGAAUAAUAUUUCGAAUAAGAAUUUAAUGCAUCAAUUUGCUUUAUUAUUUAUUUGUCAACAUGUAUGCAGUAAGUUAUUAUUAUGACUUAAUUAUUUUCAAUCAAAUGUUCUACUAUAUGAUUGGAUUUAAUAUUUACAUUUGAGUGGGUGUAAUCCCCAGGAUUCGAACUUGGGUCCAAGCCUUAAAGUUUAGGACGUUGCCCUCCUAGUACCAUCUGGGCUACUAGCUCAGAUGGUACCAAGAGGGCAACGUCCUAAGCCUUAAGGCUUGGACUCAAGUUCGAAUCCUAGGGAGACCACUCUGUGAUGCCCCUGACUGGCACAUAGACUUUUUUUGCUCUGGUGCCCAACCAUACCAUCGAACUGUGCCAGACGAGGGCAUCACAGGAAUGGGCCGGACAGCGUAGAGUCUUAUAGGGCCAUUUGUUUAUUUGGCCCUUGGGUGACGUCUCCAGGAUUCGAACUCGGGGCCUUAACCCAGACAGUUGCCCUCCUGGUACCAUCUAGGCUACUAAUGUUGAGGUCUUGCGUCAUGAUCCACAUAACUACCAAAUGGACGCACACUUUCAACCAAGAUAGAGUUCUGGUUCAGUUUUCCCUGCAAAAGAUGUCCGGACAGGGUGUCCAGACACACCCUCCAAUGGUUUUUUCAGUCAUGGUUAGAGAGAUUAAGCAGUUGGCCUUUUACUAGGUAUAGCAAGCUUACCUUCCUCCUUAUGUGAAGGUCCUUAUAUAUAGUAUCAGAAGUUCUGCUUCCCUCUUUAAUGGUAGGGAGACUUUUUGACUCGUCAUGAUGCCUCUAGGUGGUGGCAGGGCUAUCAUCACCCUACAGGUGGCUGUCAGAGAUCGUGGGAAGUGACUUGCCAUCAUUCAUGUCCUUUCGCUCUACAGGUGGCGGAACGUGGGUUGUGGCAGGCUGUCGGAAUGAUGUAGUAAGACUUACUUACUUUAGUCAACGAUCCGGACAACAUAUCCGGAUAGGAUAUGCUAUCGUCCGGAUGUGAUGUUUGCGAGUGCCGUGUGCUUCUCCCUGAGGAAGUCCGGAUGGAGUCACUCCGGACAGCGAGGCGCCCACGUAUCAUAAGGGGGAGGGGUCCCUACAAUGAUGAGCAGUGCAUAAAUACAUUUCCACUUUAUUCACCUUACUAAUACUACAUUUAAAUAUGGUGCACAAAAGUUCAUCAUAAAACAAGGAAAGGAACGUGCGGAUGCUAAGUUUUAACUUGUUGGAAUGCUUGGGAUUUGGAGAAACACUUGAUUUAUCAUUUUGUCCAAGUUGGAGUAAGAUGAGCCAUUUGAAUCAAUGGUGGCCUUUUGUGCCAUCUUCUUCCACUCCAUGGCCUGCUUUUUCAUCUCUUUGCCUUUGUCUCCCUCGAUCAAUUCUCUCACAAGCCUCUCAACUUCAUCUCUCUUAACGUCACUGUCGAUCUCCGUGCCUAUGCCCCAUUCUGUGCAACAGUAGCGGCAGUUGGUUUGCUGCUCUGCGAAAAAUGGCCAGCAAAUCAUGGGCACUCCUGCACUCACACUUUCCAUAGUGGAAUUCCACCCGUUGUGAGUUAAGAACCCACCAACGGCAGGGUUGCUGAGAACUUCCUCCUGAGGACACCAACUUGCUAGCAGACCCCUGUUUUUGGUCUCUGCCAAGAAUUGUGGCAGAAGAAUGGCCGACUCACCAGACACAAUAUCCGGCCUUAUUAUCCAUAAGAAUGUUUGAUUGCUAUUUGCCAGUCCCCAAGCAAACUCAUUGAGUUGAUCUGUUGUCAGGCUUGUCACGCUUCCAAAAUUCACGUAAACAACAGAGUUGUGUUUUUUGGAGUUGAGCCAUUCGAAAAAACCCCAUUCUUCUUUCCACAGAUUUGAUCCAAUCAACUGCAAAUCAUUAUCUUGGACCUGAUUCACGAGUAGACUUAAAGGACCAAUGGUGUAAAUUGGAGGAAACAUUGGUGAAAGUGCAUCCAAAACAUCCUUCUCGCAUCAAACGUAUUGAAAAUGAGGGCAGAAGCUUUGUGGGCUCUUUCAGCCUCAUGCAAUGGAAAGUCCAGCAUAAUUUCAUUUGGGUCUGUAGUUCGAAUGAAGCUCGGGAUGUCCUUCAGACGAAUACCUCUCAUACCAGGUAUCCAAUCAAUAACGGUGUCCAGAUACCCAUUUGUUAAGUAACUGGGGUCUUCAUGUCACAGAAAAAACAGAUUCAAAAAAAAAAAAAAAAAAAAAAAAUACAAGAAUCGGUACUGCUAACUCGGAUUUGAAAAUGUAUAUGCAAAUUGGGGUUUAGGUUGAUACCUUUAAGGGGUAUAAAACCCUUGUCGAUGAGAUUGCGAUACUGCAAGUAGCCCAUGAAGCCACAAGUACUAGUUGUCCAGAAAAGAACGUCAGGAAUGGCCAGUUCUUGGGCAGCAUCAAGAGUGAAGCUCAUGGCACCAUCAGAGACUAUGCAAGUGACAGGAGGCCCGUCGUGGUUAAGUUGGGAAAGAAGGUCUCGAAAAGGAUCUAAGCAGUUUUUUCUGGUGGAGGCGCAGAGGUAGCGGAUAUCUUGGGUGGCGUCUUCAUCGGACGGAGGGAGACCAUCGGAAAUGGUUUUGAAUUGGAAGGAAGGCAGAUCAUCAAGGGAGUUGGGGCCACGGGACUUGACCAGGCGCUUAUGGUUAAACUCCGUGUUGACGAAAGUAAUAUGUAAGCCUUUGAAACAGAGGAGCUUUGCUAAUUUUAGCAUAGGGUUUAUGUGGCCUUGAGCUGGGUAUGGUAUGCAAACUGCAUGAGGCUUCUCCAUGGAGACAACUCAGCUCUUUAUCUUUGCUCUCUCUUCCAGUCUUGUAUAUCAUCGUGCCGACCCAGCUCCGGUCUUAUAGGGCGGGAGAGAGAGGGUCUCUACACAAUAUGUUUAACUCUCGAAAAAUAUUAUUAAGGAAAAAAAAUUAUUUAAAAAAAUAUUUUUUUUAUAUUUAACUUUACUAUAAAAAAUUUCAAAAAAAAAAAAUCAAAUACAAUUAAAAUUAAUUAAACUUCAUUUAUAUUAAAUUUAUUUAACUUAUUAAUAAAAAUAAUUAAAAAAUAAUUUAUUAAUCUUAAAUUUAUUUUUUACUUUUUAUUAUUUUUUUCUCUUUCAAAUUUUCAGAACCAAACACAGCGUUAAAGAACACGCAUGCAGUCAUUUUUCACAUGCGAGGAUGUUGAUGGGUGUUGUCGACCACCUAACUCUCACAGUUUAAAUAAUAUAUAUAUAUAUUUUAAAAUUUUAACUACUUUUUUUUUUUAUGUAAAAGAACCCUACUUUUACUGUACCAGAGGUGAUGUCUUUUUGUUGGAAUUAGUAUCAAAUGGAUGCUUCAUUGUACCUAAGUUAAAGCAUGCUUAAAUUUUAAUUCUUGUAUAUCUUGUUUUCUGCAGGAUAUUAGAGUAAAACAGGUUUCACGCAUUAUUGGACGAUCACGCCAUUUCUCUUCCAGAGUUGGAAAGUCCAACGGAGAGCAGAACUCGUUUUCAAUGACUCAAUUAUUUUCCGUUGAUUCCGUUGAUUAGACGGGAUAGCAUCAUGGUAGGCCAGACGGGAUUUAGUCGGACUGAAAACUCAAUAAUUUAGACGUACACAACUUUAGAAAAGGAAUUGGGUUAUUGAGGACGAGGUUCGGAAAGGAAGUGGAAUUAGGACAAAAAUAGAAGACGAGUGAAAGACUCGGUUGAGGAACUGAGAACCAUGUUGAUGAGUAAUGCUGCGCGCAAGGCAAAGAACAAAAAGUAUGAUACAAGCACCCCGAAUCCUUGCGGUUUCUCCGUGUACCCGUCUUUUGUUUCCAAGGAAAGUGACGUUGGAGUAGUGAUUAUCCUGAGGCACAUUGCGACUCCCGUAAAGAUAACAAACUGCACCCUUUCUUGCUCUUGGUAUACCAUUUCUGAUUUCCAUGAUUAGCAAAAUCAGAAAAAUUUCUCCUGUUAUAGAAUAGAUAGCUAAAUUAGAAAAGUCAAUCUGUACAUAGCGUGAUGAGGUCCCUCAAUUUCUCCCAUCUCUUUUUACUCACUCUCAAAGCAGUAGGAAAAAGUAAACUGAUCCCCAUGCUGUCGUCGGCCUUACCCAGGAUAAAAAACUGUUGAUGUGGAAUCGUGUACUGCAAAUAAAUGAAGCACAUGUUCCAUGUGGUUUCAGAUGCGUUUUGCAUGCGUAUGGACACGACAAAUUGGCUUUCAUGCAAGUAGGAUCAAUUAUAACUCAAUCUUUAAUGAAAUAUUCUUAAUAGUUUUUUUUACCAAAAAAUUAUAUACUAACUAAAAGUUUGAAGUACUUUUUAUAUGAAGAACACAGCAUUACAAAAUAUCUUCAAUAUUCAGGUACAGCAUGAGUAUUUUUUUAUUUCGUAAACAAUACGUCAGACUAUUGAAAACAACAAAUGAAGCAUCCAGAGCAAAAUAAUAGACGAGUCAGAAUUCGCUGAGUUGGGACAUUCGAGAAAGGAGUGUCUAGGGUCUAGAGAAGAGCUUGAGUGAUCAUUUUGUCCAAGUUCGAGAAAGACGACCCCUUGGGACCUCUAGUGGCCUCUUCUGCUAGAGUCUUCCACUCCAAGGCCUUCUUCUUCAACUCUUUGCCUUUCUCUCCCUCCAUCAACUCCUUCACAAGCCUUUCAAUUUCAUCUCUCUUAACAUCGCUGUCUAUCUCCAUGCCUAUGCCCCACUCAGUGCAACAGUAGCGGCAGUUGGUUUGCUGCUCUGCAAAAAAGGGCCAACAAAUCAUAGGCACUCCAGCGCUCACACUUUCAAUUGUGGAAUUCCAUCCGUUGUGAGUUAAGAAGCCGCCAACAGCCGGGUGACUGAGAACUUGCUCUUGAGGACACCAACCUGCUAACAGACCCCUCUCUUUCGUCUCUGCCACGAAUUCUGGUGGAAGAAUGGCCGCGUCACCGGACACAAGAUCUGGCCUAAUUAUCCAUAAGAACGUCUGAUUGCUAUUCACAAGUCCCCAAGCAAACUCAUUGAGUUGCUGCGAUGUCAUCACUGUGAUGCUCCCGAAAUUCACGUAAACAACAGAGUUGGGCUCUUUGGAGUCCAGCCACUCCAGACAUUCCGGCUCUUCUUUCCACAGAUUCGAUUCCAUCAACUUCAAAUCGUUAUCUUGGAUCUGACUCAUGAGUUGGUGCAGGGGACCGAUGGUGUAGAUUGGGGGAAACAUCUGAGAAAGUGCAUCCAAAACUUCAUGCUCUAGAGCAUCAAAUGUAUUGAAAAUGAGGGCAGAAGCCUUGCGAGCUCUUUCAGCCUCCCGCAAUGGAAAUUCCAGCAUAAUUUCAUUUGGGUCCGUAGUUCGAAUGAAGCUUGGGAUAUCCCUCAAACGGAUACCUUUCAUACCCGGUAUCCAAUCAAUAACGGUAUCCAGAUACCCAUUUGUUAGGUAACUCUCAUCUGCAUUUCAUAGAAAGGAGGGGAAAAAAAUAUGAGAAUCCGUAUUGAGCUUAGCUUUGAAGUAAUUAAAUGCAAAGUUGGUCAGUAUUUGAUUCAUUUGAAUGAUACCUUUGAGUGGAGCCAAACCCUUAUCGAUAAGAUUGCGAUAUUGCACGUAGCCCAUGAAGCCGCAAGCACUAGUUGUCCAGAAAAGAACUUCAGGAACGCCAAGCUCUUGAGCAGCAUCAAGAGUGAAGCUCAUGGCGCCAUCAGAAACUAUGCAAGUGACUGGAGGGCCAUCGUGGUUGAGGUUGGAAAGAAGGUCUCUAAAGGGAGGCAGGCAGUGUUUUCUGGUGGAGACACAGAGGGCGGGAAUGUCUUGGGUGGCAUCAACAUUGGAGGGAAGGAGACCAUCGGGAAUGGUCUUGAAUUGGAAGGAGGGGAUGCCCUUGAGGGAGUCUGGACCCCGAGAUUUGAGCAGGCGGUUAUGGUUGUACUCUGUGUUGACAAAGGUAAUGUGGAACCCUCUGAAAUGAAGGAACUUAGCUAGUUUUAGCAUAGGGUUUAUGUGGCCUUGUGCUGGGUACGGUAUGCAAACUGCAUGUGGCUUCUCAGCUGAGGCUAAGGAACCCAUUCUCUCUCUCUCUAUCUCUCACUUUCACUCUGUCCUCAAUUGGUAUAUGCCCAUGACAUUGGAAGUAGCUUGGGUUUUAUAGCCCCAGGAGAGAGGGUCAAACAAGUUACUUAUAUUUAUAUAUAUAUUAAAGACAGAAGUCAGAAGUCAAAUAAAUGCUGCAAUAUUAAUAUAUGUACAGCUGUAUCAGAGAGUAACUAAAGGUCAAACUUGGCUCUCUCCUUUAUCUAGGUUAACCCACCUGUCCUCCAUACUUCACGGCAGGUGCCUAAUGCUUUUCAUAGGAGAUGUACAACAGAUUCAAUAUUUACACAAUUAUCAACUUUUAAUUACCUACCCCUUUAAUAUAUUACUCUUAAGCAAUAUAAACGAUAUACAAAUACCUAUUUUUGUAAUGCAGUAGGAUCUUGACAAUCAAUUAUUUGGUCCUGAUCCUGGAACCAUGUAUCAACAGCCGGUCACCCUUUAAAAAUCAUGAAUUAGACAACCCAUGCUUUUUUCGGACAAAAAACAACCGACAAGGGAUUUCCACAACUUUUUCUAAUGGAUGAACAUACCUUUUCUGUAUCUCUUUAUGUACAUAAACCAAUAAUUUGGGCAGUCCAAAAGCUUUGCGGAUUCUAUGUGGGGCUAAAUGGUAUCAUUCAUCUUCUGUGUUGGCCCGCAGUCGACAUGGCACAAGAACUUCACAAUUUGUACUGGUAUGGAGUUUAUUUUCUUAUUAAGAAUGUUUGUCCAAACCGAUAUGAUAUAUGGUUUGUAUUUGUGAAAGAAAUAUCUUCAAAUUCUGAAAAGGCAUAAACCUAACCCCGCCGCAAGCUAAAAGUUGACCAAAGAAAGUCGAUAAGCUUUUAAAACUCGUUCCAAGUUGUCGGAUGUCCACACCUAUAUAUUAUUAUUUAUAGGUGUGCGAAUGGAUGAGAAAUCUAUUAUAUAUGAUGUUAAUGGUUAAGUCGGACCCAUACAAACAAAAGAUGAAGUCGGUAUAUAUAAUGGAAACAAAGAGGUGGAAACAAAGAGGUGCUAAUCGCUAUGAAUUGAAGACAGAAUGCAUCCACCCCAUACAAAAAUGUCGACCAUAAGAUGAAAUAAAAUAUUUAGAGAAGAUAAAUGUGAGGGCGGUGACAAGAUUGAGGAGCUUAAAACAAUGAUUAAAAUAUAGGGAUAUUUCAACGAUGUGUCUGUGUCGAUAUGAGCUAUUUACAUGCUGUCCGGCGAGUUGAAGCUUCAACCAUCCACAUUACUGUUGAGGCAAGUUUUCCCCUUGUUAAUAAUCUUACACUAUAUAUAUAUAUAUAUUAAAAGUUUUCAUAUACACUAAAUAUUUAAACAAUUAAUUAAUUAUAUUUAUUUUAUAAUUAAAUACAAAAUUUUCAUUUAAUUGAGUAAUAAAAAGUUUUUAAUAUCAUUAAUAUAUUAAUUAAAUAUUAAAAAAUUAUACAUUUAUCAUCAUUUAUUUUAUAUCAUUUAAUACAAUUAAAUUAAAUAUAUUAUAAUUUUAAUAUUAAAUAUAUUUUAAAAUUAAAUAUAUUAUAAUCAAAUAUCAUAAUAUUAUUAUCGAAUAAUAUUUGAUGUAAUUUAAUAAUUAAUAUACACUUUUAUACAUAUGUAUUAAUUUAUUCAAUAAAACAAAUUUAAAAUAUCUAUUACAUUUCUAAUUUAAUUUUUAAAAACUUUAUUUUAUAUUUUUAAAAGUUUUGAUCAAUUUUAAGUCGAUCAAUUUUUUGUAUCAAAAUAUCCAUCAAUAUAUUUUCGAUAUAUCCGUAAAAUCGAAUUAUCGAUAUAUUAGUGAUUACCGAUAAUUUUAUCAUUGGCUUAAAAGAGAAGUGAUGCUAUGGGACCAAAAAAAAAAAAUCUGAUCCUGUGAGAGAUUCCUUGGGGGGUCUGAAUGUUUUUGCUGGCUUCCUUUGCCAUUCUUUCACGUACCUUAUGUUCGCAUUCCUGGAAAGACAACUCCCAUUUUCAUUCUUUCCUUUCAUUCAAUCAUUACGAAGACCACAAACUUCAGUAUUGUACGGCUUUAUCUGGGUCUAAAUUUUCUGGUCAUUUUCUUGAUCCUUCCGUGAACCAUUGGAACGCCAUGGAGCUUAACUUCUUGUUUAUAUAUAUAUAUAUAUAUAUGAACAUCAAAUGCAGGUAAGUUAGGACAUUGUAGGGACCCCUCCCUCCGAGACACGUGGCACGCAUCUUACAGUGACACGUGGCACGCAUUGUCAUCCAGGUCAUUUUCAUCCGGACCUUCUCAUAAAGCACAAUGGCACGCUUUUCCGGACUACCUCAAGGAAGAUCAAACGACACUUAUAAGCAUAUCAUCCGGACGAUUUACACAAUGCAUCCGGAUGAUCAACAUAGGCCGUCCGGAUACAAUGGUCCGGACCACUAACUAAAGUAUAGCGAGUCUUACACGCUAUCACGACAACCAGCCAUGGCCCACGUCCCAUCACCUGCAGAGUGAAAGGACGGGUUGAGGUGACAACAAGUCACUUCCCACGAUCAUUCUACAUGAUCACUUCCCACGAUCAUUCUACAUGAUCACUUCCCACGAUCUCUAAGCAGCAGCAUCACCUACCACGGUUUCUGACAGCCGCCAGUAGGGUGGCGAUGACCAUGCUGCCUCCGAAUGUCAUCAUGACAAACAUAAAAUAUCUCCUCGCCAUUAAUGAGAGGAACAAUACUCCUAGCACUAUAUAUGAACCUUCGCACGAAGAAGAAGGUAAUCUCCAGAUACCGAGUAAAAGGCCAACUGAUUUAUAUCUCCCUCUCUAGCCAUGGCUAACAAAACCAUUAGAGAGUGCGUCCGGACACUCUGUCCGGAUGCCUUUUUGCAGGUAUAACGACUGAAUCAAGAACCUUUGUGUGUUGAGAUCGCGUCUCCAUCCAUUUGGCAACUACGUGGAAGCCCAGGAGUGCGAGGUAUUAACAUUGGCGCCGUCUGUGGGAACAUUUUUACUUUGAUUCAGUCACCAAAAAAGAUGGCUACACCUUCCCGAAGCCGAUCAUCUGGUAAAGGAGUGGAUGGAUGAUAAUUUUGAAUGACGUCAAACCAUCGAAAGAAGACAGUUGGCAAGCGAACGACAACUAAAAGCUCUCCUCCAAGAGACAGAAAGAUUGAGAGAAGAAAACACUGUAUUACGUAUCCAGGUUUCAACAUCAGGGCCUCCUCGACGUCGGCAUUCAAGGGGCCAAGUAGCAAACUCGAGGCCUCAGUAAGAGCCGGAAUCAAUAUAUCCUGGGACAACAGGGGCUAUCCCAGGGGCAUGCAACGUAAGGCCUCACGAGCCACGCACGCCUAUGCCUCGAGCUCCCCGUGAUGAAAGCUCAGACUCUACUCACUUUUCAGCAAAAAGACAACGUGAUAAAAAAUCACAGUUGUCAAAUUCGAUGCGCGCAAGACUAGGCCCGCAAGAGCCUAGAAGAUCAAGGCCACCAAUGGCCACAACCUGGGCACCACGCCCUGACCCCAUGGCCACCCCCAUGGUGCAAAACGUUCACCCGCAUCGUGACCCCGUAGUCACCCUCGUGAUGCGGAACGUUCAUUCGCACCCAGCGGAACGACCAGCUGGGAGAAACAUCCCAAACGAGCCGAUCAUUGGCUCCAUCAGCAAAAGGCUGGAUGACAUGCUCUCCACGCCUUUUUGCUCUCAUAUCAUUAAUUACGAGCCCCCAAGGGGAUUCCUCGUACCAAAGUUUUCCACAUACGAUGGAACCAACGAUCCCUUCGAUCACAUCAUGCAUUAUCGACAGCUUAUGACGCUCGAUAUUGGCAACGAUGCACUGCUAUGCAAAGUAUUUCCCGCCAGCUUACAAGGACAGGCCCUCUCAUGGUUUCAUCGCCUACCUCCCAACUCUGUUGGCGAUUUCAGGGACCUGUCCGAAGCUUUCGUGGGACAAUACUUGUGCUCCGCACGACACAAGCAAAAUAUCAGCACCCUGCAGAACAUAAAAAUGCAAGAUAACGAAUCCUUGAGGGAAUUCGUGAAGCGAUUUGGCCAGGUCGUGCUUCAAGUAGAGGCUUGUAGUAUGGAUGCUGUCCUACAGAUCUUCAAGCGAAGCAUCUGUCCAGGCACUCCAUUUUUCGAAUCACUGGCUAAAAAGCCUCCUACAACGAUGGAUGACUUAUUCAGACGAGCCAACAAAUAUUCAAUGCUCGAAGAUGACGUACGUGCAGCCACCCAGCAAGUUUUGGUUGCCGGACGGCCAUCUAGAAGUGAUGCGGAGAGAAAUACUAAGCCUUCGGAUCGACCAAAGCCGUCUGACCGAAGGCAGGAAGGGCCAAGUCGCUCGGAAAGGCCGCCUCUCACACCUCUUUCCAUAUCAUAUGAAAAACUUCUCCCCAUGAUCCAAGGCUUGUCUGACUUCAGGUGGCCAAGACCCCAAGGAACAGACCCCUCCACAAGGGAUCAUAGCAAGAGAUGUGUCUUCCACAAAGAUCAUGGCCAUACAACAGAGACAUGCCGAGCUUUCCAGUUUCUGGUCGAGAGGCUUAUAAAAGCAGGGCAUUUGAAGCAAUACCUCCGAUCAGAUAAUGGAGAAAGGGACGCAUCCCAACAUCACAACCCCGGGGCCCCUAGGGCCCCAACUGCCCCCAAGGCCAUUAUAAACUAUAUUAACGGAAGUCCAUCUGAUGAGGAGUACGACUCUAGGCGAAAGAGACAAAAAUUGUUGCGGGCCGCAUCAAUACGCGAACGCAUCAAUUCCAUCCGACCUGGGCUAACUGGAGGGGGCCCUCGCCCCAUAGAUGGGACAAUCAUUUUCCCACCAGUAGAUCCCACCAGGACACUGCAACCACAUCGCGACGCCCUCAUCCUGUCCCUGGAAAUUGGGGGCUUUGAUGUGCGGCGUAUCUUAGUUAACCCAGGCAGCUCGGCCGAUCUUAUACAAGCAUCAGUCGCUAGCCACAUGGGACACAGUCUCACAGUCCUUGAAAACCCUGGACAAAUCUUGUCCGGAUUCAACGGAUCGUCAACUAUAUCUUUGGGAGACAUUGUACUGCCGGUCCAAGCUGGCCCAGUCACUCUCAACGUGCAAUUCUCGGUAGUACAAGAGUUAUCACCCUUCAAUAUCAUCUUAGGGCGCACAUGGCUACACUACAUGAAAGCCAUCCCCUCUACAUAUCAUCAAAUGGUGAGUUUCAUCACCAGCGAGGGGCAGAUUGACCUGUAUGGCAGCCAGUUAGCCGCUCGCCAAUGCUAUCAAAUAGCACGAGAGGCAGGGGCCAACCAGGAGGAUGCAUCUCCCCCUGAACCCAACAUUGCACAUGACCAAUAGCAAUUAUUGGGUCGGGCGGACAAAGAUCCCCCGGCAGCAGAUCCUUUACAAACAAUCCAAAUUUCGAAGGAAAGCACUCACCUUACAAACAUCAGCUUCCUCAUGACAGCCGAAAAAACUCAGUGUAUGCAAAACAUUCUCAGACAGAAUCAUGACAUCUUCGCAUGGGCACAUUCUGAUAUGAAGGGAAUUCAUCCCUCUAUUGCAUCUCACAGGCUUAACGUCUUUUCAACUGCCAGACCCGUCCGGCAGAAAAUUAGGCGUUUUCACCCGGAUAGACAAAAAGUCAUCCGAAAUGAGAUGGACAAAUUGCUCGAAGUCGGAUUCAUCAGAGAAGUUUCUUAUCCGGAGUGGUUGGCAAAUGUAGUGGUGGUACCCAAAAAAGAAGGAAAGUGGCGAGUUUGUGUAGACUAUACCAAUCUCAAUAAUGCAUGUCCAAAAGACAGUUUUCCCUUGCCACGAAUAGAUCAGAUUGUGGAUUCCACGUCCAGGCAAGGGAUGCUCUCUUUCUUGGAUGACUUCUCCGGAUAUCAUCAAAUCCCCAUGUCCCCGGACGAUGAAGAAAAGACAGCAUUCAUAACGCCACACGACCUCUAUUGCUACAAAGUCAUGUCAUUCGGACUCAAAAAUGUUGGUGCCACUUAUCAAAGAUUGAUGACUAAAAUCUUCGAACCUCUAAUAGGCCACACGGUAGAGGUAUAUAUUGAUGAUAUCGUGGUUAAAAGCAAAACCCGAGAGCAGCAUGUCCUUCACUUACAAGAAGUUUUUCACCUCUUACGAAAGUAUGGCAUGAAGCUAAAUCCUUCUAAAUGCGCAUUUGGCGUAAGUGCUUGCAAAUUUCUGGGAUUUAUGGUCAGCCAAAGGGGCAUAGAAGUCAGCCCGGAUCAAGUCAAAGUAGUCAUGGAAACACCCCCUCCCAGGAACAAGAAGGAGCUACAACGACUCAUAGGCAAGCUCGUCGCACUAGGGCGUUUUAUAGCCCGCUUCACUAAUGAAUUGCGACCCUUCUUCUUGGCAAUACGAAAAGCUGGAGCACAUGGAUGGACGGACAGUUGCUAGAACGCUUUCGAAAAGAUUAAGCAUUGUCUUACGCAACCGCCCAUCUUGAGCAGCCCCAUUCCAAAAGAGAAAUUGUAUAUGUAUCUGGCGGUAUCAGAAUAGGCAAUCAGCGUCGUUCUAUUCCGCUGCCCCUCGCCCAAGGAGUGAAAACCUAUCUACUACGUCAACAGGGCAUUGGCUGACGUAGAAACCAGAUAUUCAAAAAUGGAGCUAACAGCCUUAGCCCUUCGAAACGCUGCUCAGAAGCUCCGCCUUUAUUUCCAAGCUCAUCCAGUGAUCGUACUAACUGACCAGCCCCUUCGCAAUAUUCUGCACAAGCCAGAUUUAACCGGGAGAAUGCUACAAUGGGCCAUUGAAUUAAGCGAAUUUGGAAUCGAAUUCCAACCUAGGUUGUCCAUGAAAGGCCAGGUAAUGGCUGACUUCGUGCUAGAAUAUUCCCGAAGACCCAGCCAACACCACGAAUCAAGUAAACAAGAAUGGUGGACUCUGCGAGUUGACGGAGCCUCACACUCAUUCGGCUCUGGAAUUGGGCUCCUACUACAAUCCCCAACUGGGGAACAUUUGGAGCAAGCCAUCCGGCUGGGAUUCUCUGCCUCUAACAAUGAAGCAGAAUAUGAGGCUAUCUUGUCCGGAUUGGACCUCGCCCUUGCUCUAUCCGUCUCCAAACUCCGAGUCUACAGCGACUCACAACUCGUGGUAAAGCAUGUCCAGGAGGAAUAUGAGGCUAAGGACACACGCAUGGCGCGAUACUUAGCUAAAGUAAGAGAGACUUUGCAGCAAUUCACCGAAUGGACAAUCGAAAAAAUCAAGCGAGCUAACAAUAGGCGCGCUGACGCCUUGGCUGGCGUAGCUGCCUCCCUCCCUAUCAAAGAAUCCAUUCUAUUGCCCAUACAUGUGCAACUCAACCCCUCUGUCGCAGAAAGUUCCACCUGCAAUACCAUUGAGGCACCCCAAGCGGACGGCCAAGAAUGGAUGAAUGGCAUCACAUAAUAUAUCCGGACUGGAACUUUACCAGGAGAUCUCAAACAGGCACACAAAGUCCGGGUGCAAGCUGCCCGUUUCACCCUGAUUGGGGGGCACCUAUACAAGCGAUCCUUCACAGGACCUUACCUUCGAUGCCUAGGGCAUUCAGAGGCCCAGUAUGUGUUAGCUGAGUUACACGAAGGAAUAUGCGGGAAUCAUUCAGGAGGACGAUCUCUGGCACAUCGAGCCCAUUCACAGGGAUAUUAUUGGCCAACAAUGAAGAAGGAUGCGGCAACAUACGUCAAAAAUUGUGACAAAUGUCAAAAGCAUGCUCUCAUUCCACAUAUGUCAUCAGCAACAUUGAAAUCAAUAUCAAGCCCAUGGCCCUUCGCACAAUGGGGCAUGGACAUAGUAGGACCUCUCCCAGUUGCGCCUGCCCAAAAGAAAUUUUUGCUCGUUGCCACAGAUUAUUUCAGUAAGUGGGAGGAAGCUGAAGCAUAUGCUAGCAUCAAAGACAAGGAUGUCACCAAGUUCGUAUGGAAAAAUAUUAUCUGUCGUUUUGGAAUUCCCCAAGCCAUCAUAGCUGACAAUGGUCCACAAUUUGAUAGCAUUGCAUUCAGGAACUUCUGUUCGGAGCUAAACAUCCAGAAUUCAUACUCCACACCGCGAUAUCCUCAAAGUAAUAGGCAAGCAGAAGCCACAAACAAGACCCUAAUCACUGCCUUAAAGAAUAGGCUUGAACAAGCCAAAGGAAAAUGGGUCGAGGAGCUACCCGGCGUCCUAUGAGCCUACCGAACUAUACCCAGACGGCCAACAGGAAAUACUCAUUUCGCUCUCGCAUAUGGAAUGGAUGCAGUCAUUCCUACUGAAAUAGGUCUUCCUACUAUCCGGAUUGAUGCAGCAAAACAGAGUGAUGCAAACAUGGAAUUAGGAAGAAAUUUGGAUUGGACGGAUGAAGUGAGGGAAAGCGCGGCCAUCCGGAUGGUAGAUUAUCAACAAAGGGCAUCAGCACAUUACAAUCGCAAAGUGAGGCCAAGAAGCUUAAAAAAUGGUACGCUAGUCCUUAGAAAAGUUUUUGAAAACACUGCUGAAGUCGGUGCAGAGAAAUUCCAAGCUAACUGGGAAGGACCCUAUAUAGUGUCUAAGGCAAGUGAAAGUGGAGCCUAUUAUUUACAAAAGUUAGACGGGACUCCAUUACUUAGACCAUGGAAUGUGUCCAAUUUAAAACGGUACUAUCAAUGAAAAAGAGAGACAAAAACAAAUAGAAGAAAAAGACAUAUUUUAUUGAUAUGUAUCAAUGAAUGUACAAAGAGGUCUUCGGACCACGAAAAUACAAAAAAAAAUUACAACAAAAAGUUGCAAAAAGACAAAAGCUAUCAGGGAGCAGCCUUAAAGUUUCUUCUCUUCACCCGGAGGAAUUGAAGGGACAUCCCCCUUUAUGCCAUUCUUCUUCAUACAGCAGCGAUAACCGAAGAUGAAGGUGUCAUCCACUUGUUUUUGGUAGUCCGCUUCAAGUUCCUCCCUCUCUGCAGCAAACUCCCGUUCUAGCUCUUCUUUUUGCGCUGUUAAGCGUAGCUGCAAAUCUUCUUUUUGCUUCUUUUCAAUAGAAGCCUCUGUCCGGAGUUGCCUCACUUCCCCCCCCCCCCCCCCCCCCAUCCGGGCUAUCUCAUCCUCUGCCUCAUGCAGACGGGCAAUCGAUGAUUCCUCCCGGUCCUUAGCCUCAGCCAAUUUCGCCCGAAGGGCUUCAUUGUCCUCUCGAACGGUGGAUAAGCUGGCCUCAGCCUCCGCCAGUCUCAGGCGCAACUGAUCUUCAGCAUCUUUGCGCCGAGUGGCGAAGNNNNNNNNNNNNNNNNNNNNNNNNNNNNNNNNNNNNNNNNNNNNNNNNNNNNNNNNNNNNNNNNNNNNNNNNNNNNNNNNNNNNNNNNNNNNNNNNNNNNUUUUUUUUUUUAUUGUUCAAAAGAAAUCCAAAAGGGUUUUUUGGCCCCCGAAAAUAAAAAAAAAAAUUCACAAAAAAAGUUGAAAAAAAAAAAAAGUUUUUGGGGGGCCCCCUUAAAUUUUUUUUUUUUCCCCCGGGGAAAUAGAAAGGGCCCCCCCCUUUAUCCCUUUUUUUUUUAAAACAGGGGAAAAACAAAAAAAAAAGGGUUCCCCCCCUUUUUUUUGGGGAUCCCCUUAAAAUUCCCCCCUUUUGGGCAAAAAACCCCCUUUUAAUUUUUUUUUUUGGGGAGUAAAGGGGGGCCCAAAAUUUUUUUUUUUUUUUUUUUAAAAAAAAACCCUUUUCCGGGGGUCCCCCCUUUUCCCCCCCCCCCCCCCCCCCCAUCCGGGCUAUCUCAUCCUCUGCCUCAUGCAGACGGGCAAUCGAUGAUUCCUCCCGGUCCUUAGCCUCAGCCAAUUUCGCCCGAAGGGCUUCAUUGUCCUCUCGAACGGUGGAUAAGCUGGCCUCAGCCUCCGCCAGUCUCAGGCGCAACUGAUCUUCAGCAUCUUUGCGCCGAGUGGCGAAGGUCUUCAUAUAAUCAGUGGUCCGCAGCAGGUCAGUGAAAAGAUCGUAUUGAUUGGCCAUACCACGGAGACCACUCACCAGCUGCAGGCAAACAGACAAACAAGAAAAACAAAGUUAUAAAUCACACCACAAACACAUAUCAGAAUGAGAAAGAUUCAAGGAACACAGAAAAGUAUACCGACUCCACCAUCUCGAACAUCUUGGCUGAAGGCAUAAUACUGGUCAAGCUGGGUGGAAUCUGUUUCAGCUUAUCUUCCAACUCCGCAUAGCUAAAAGGGCUAGCGGAGGUGCAAGACGCAUCAUUAACAGGAUCCCCGCCUGAUGAGGCAACAGAAGGAGACUCUGGUUCCGGAUUCGGUGCCUUAACAUUUACGACCGAAUGGGUCUCCCCGGGUGCAACCUCAGCCGGGACCAUUACAAGGACGACUGGAGGCUCAGUUGUCAUCUCCACUUCGCCCCCCUCCGGAUGAGCGUCGUGAGCGGAUGAGCAACUAACUUCGAUCUCUUGUUAACGAUCUUGAAGCCACCCGAGGAGUCCGGACCUCUGAUUGCGCGCCGAGCGCGGCCUCUUCGAAGGUGGCCCCUUCACCAGAACAAGAGUCAGACGGUCCGGAUCGUCCGAGGGCUGACUCUGGCUUUCGAUCCCCGCUUCCUCCAUCGGGUCCGCACAAACGGCUUCAACUGCAUCGACAUCCGGAUUAGGGGAGUCCGGAUGGUUGAUGGAUGCAGCUUCCUCAGCCAGAUUAGCCAGACGGGCAACCGCUGCCAAUGAGGUACUUGAGUGGUUCAGCCCCACGACGUGUCCGGAACCGCUUGAGAUAGAAUGAGGAGCAGGGUUCACUAGCUCCUCUAUUAUUACCUCCGCCUCGUGGAUAAUUGGCGGAGGAGCAAAUUCUUUGGGAGGAGUGGGCUCCUUCACUCCCUUCCCAUUCUUCACCAGCUUCUUCUUUUUCGCUGGAGCUUUAUUUGGCGGAGAGUCUGCGUCGCAUUUCUGUCUGGGAGCCUUCCGAAGGGUCCCUUCGUUUUUCUUCUUCUCCUGAUUGUCCAAGAGCGCUCGGCGUUUUUCAGCGUCAGCCUCUUUUAACGCCUGGUAAAUCGGGAGAUCUUUCACAAUGUAAUGCUCCCCAGGCACUACCUCCUUUGGCAUCUUCUUGGGGAGAAUGUUGAUGACAUACUCUUGGGGCUCUUGGACGACCGCCAUCAGGUUCCGUGCAGUCAGCAGCAUCUUGCACUGCCUCUCCUUGGCGUCUAUUUCAAAACACUUGCUGAGACAGGCAAAAGACGCAUUUCCACCCAAUCCACGAGGUAGCCCCUUUUUUCCGGACCUACAUUAACAGCAGCAAAGGUUGACAAUACCAUCCGGAGAUAUCAACAAGAAAACAACAAGGUAAAAAUCCGGACAAAAGUCGCAAAGCAAACUUACCCGGAAUCGCUAAGGAAUAGUUGGGAGAGAAGGGCCUCACCGGAUGCCUCGACCCCGCCCACGCACCCCGGACCAUCACGUGUCUCUUCGCCCCUCCAUUCGUCGAGUCUGGCAGUUCCGUCACCAAUUGAAGGGAGGGCAGGUGCGCGGACAGGCUGAAGAUGUCAGUUUUCGCCUUCUUCAGCGAAUACACGAAAAACACCUCCAGCAGCGUGAGGUCAAGGUUGUACAGCAUGUUUAUGAUGUUGCAUCCCAUCAGCACCCGGACGAUAUUGGGGUGAAUGAAGACUGGUGGAAUCUUGGUGAAAUGGAGGAAUUCCUUGAACAACGCCGGCAGAGGCAACCGGAGCCCCGCAUAGAAUUGUUCCUUCGAGAAGAUGACGGUAUCUUGUUCAGCUUUCUCAGUAGAUACGACAUCUUUCCAAUUCAAAAAUUCCACAAUCACGCCAUUUGCAAUGCAGAAUCGAUCCCGGAACUCCUUUACGCUCAGUUUGUCUGUAGGUUUCUCAUGAGCGUCGCUGGAGUGGGCAGAUGAAGUAGCUUUCUGCUUUGAAGACAUUUUCUAGCCCGAGGUUGAACUGAAACCUACAUGCAAGAAAUGCAAUAGUCAAACACAGCCAACCAACCCCACAAACCCUAAACGAUAACAAACACUCGGAAAACCUCGCACCAACAGUAUACCUAUUCCAAAAUCUUUGACUCUACCCCAACAAGAAACCCCCGACCUACAAAAACCACAGGGGGGCAACUGAAACCCUUAAAACACCCAGUCACAAACAACACUCGCCCAAACAAGCCAACAACGCCAAAGCGUACAAAAGGAAAGAACAAAGCAUAAAGAAUACGUACCGAAUGUCAGAGAGAAGCAAAGGUUGCAGAUCGCAAGGCAAGCACCGUCAAAGCGCAACAAAUCACCGUAAAAAAUUCUAGGGUUUUCACUCAAAAGAAGCAACAAUACGCACAAGGUUGACGAAGAAAGCUAUCUCAGAAAAACGCAGUAGAAAAAAGCAACAGUGAGCACAGUAUGCUAUUUAUAGGGGGACAUCCCCUCGGAAAGCCAAACGUCCAACAAACGUCAUCAUUGAAACGACAUACUGCCUGGGAAUACCCAGAGUCGGCGGCUCAUCAUAAAUGCCUUUUUGGCUCUCGCACCCCCACUCGCCACGUGGCCCAACCAGACAAAAAGUCGAUUUCGGUUUCAAAAAACCAAUUAUUUUUAACCCGCCCAUUUUUGCUCGGGCAAAAUAGGCAAGUUAAAAAGGGGGGCAUUGUAGGGACCCCUCCCUCCGAGACACGUGGCACGCAUUGUCAUCCGGGUCAUCUUCAUCCGGACCUUCUCAUAAAGCACACAUGGCACGCUUUUCCGAACUACCUCAAGGAAGAUCAAACUGCACUUAUAAGCAUAUCAUCCGGACGAUUUACACAAUGCAUCUGAAUACAAUGGUCCGGACCACUAACUAAAGUAUAGCGAGUCUUACACGCUAUCACGACAACCAGCCAUGGCCCACGUCUCAGCACCUGCAGAGUGAAAGGACGGGUUGAGGUGACAACAAGUCACUUCCCACGAUCAUUCUACAUGAUCACUUCCCACGAUCUCUAAGCAGCAGCAUCACCUACCACGGUUUCUGACAGCCGCCAGUAGGGUGGCGAUGACCAUGCUGCCUCCGAAUGUCAUCAUGACAAACAUAAAAUAUCUCCUCGCCAUUAAUGAGAGGAACAGUACUCCUAGCACUAUAUAUGAACCUUUGCACGAAGAAGAAGGUAAUCUCCAGAUACCGAGUAAAAUGCCAACUGAUUUAUAUCUCCCUCUCUAGCCAUGGCUAACAAAACCAUCGGAGGGUGCGUCCGGACACUCUGUCCGGAUGCCUUUUUGCAGGUAUAACGACUGAAUCAAGAACCUUUGUGUGUUGAGAUCGCGUCUCCAUCCAUUUGGCAACUACGUGGAAGCCCAGGAGUGCGAGGUAUUAACAGACAUAGGACACGAAAGCUACAGGAAAAUGACAUUAGAUGAGAUUUUUCUCAAUUUGGAAAGCGGAUUAUACAAUCUUUUCCAUAGUUUGAGGCUAAAGAUAUUUUGAGCUUUAACCCUCGCAAUUGUUUUGAUCAUGUUUAAGAAAAUUAAUUAGAUGUGUUGAUCUAAUUCAAAUCUUCAAUAUUGUACCAACUUAUAUUGUAAUUAAGUAUUUUUGCUUUCUUUCUUUAGAAUUUUCCCUAAACCAAACACAACCUUAGCUAUUUGUAAUUCUACAAACCUAAAAGAGUUGAGAAUCUAAGCAUGAGUUUUUUUUUUUUUCUCUUUAUGGAAAUAGAAAAUCUAGUGGAAUAAGUGGCGAUUUUGUACCAUACCAGGUGUACAAAAUCUUUCCAAAUAUACAAAUUUGAAAAUAAAUUUAUUUUUAUUAAUUUAAAAUUUUGAGAAUACGACCCUUAUUUUAUCUUCUAAUUUUUUUAAUAAUUAAUAUCUAACAAUUAAUUAAGCUUAGGCUUUGAUUUGGGCAUAUGACACAUGUCAUGAUCCUAUUUAAACACACAGAUGAUAUGUCAUAAUUAGUAACAGAAGGAAUUUAAAGAACUUUAAUAUGUUAAUAAAUGAACAAAAUUUUAAAUUUCUUAUCUUUUAAAAAAAAAUUGCUUUAUUUAGUUUCUUUUGAAUGGACUCUAUAUGACAAUUUUUUUAGUGGAAUAUUUAUCUUGGAUUUUAUAGAACAAAAUUUAAAAUGUUUAAUUGAUAAUAUAGGAUCAUAGUUGAAACAAUAAAAUUUAUUUAUCACUUAAAAGAAUUAAUUAAAUAAAUUUAAUAGAAUAAUAAAAAAUUUGUUAGGAAUAUUUGAAUUUGAAAAACCUUUAAAGAUCCAAAGUUUGUUAUGAAAUAUUCUUAAUAGUUUUUUUUAUCAAAAAAAUAUAUACUAACUAAAAGUUUGAAGUACUUUUUAUAUGAAGAACACAGCAUUACAAAAUAUCUUCAAUAUUCAGGUACAGCAUGAAUAUUUUUUUAUUUCGUAAACAAUACGUCAGACUAUAGAAAACAACAAAUGAAGCAUCCAGAGCAAAAUAAUAGACGAGUCAGAGUUCGCUGAGUUGGGACAUUGAAGAAAGGAGUGUCUAGGGUCUAGAGAAGAGCUUGGGUGAUCAUUUUGUCCAAGUUCGAGAAAGACGACCCAUUGGGACCUCUAGUGGCCUCUUCUGCUAGAGCCUUCCACUCCAAGGCCUUCUUCUUCAACUCUUUGCCUUUCUCUCCCUCCAUCAACUCCUUCACAAGCCUUUCAAUUUCAUCUCUCUUAACGUCGCUGUCUAUCUCCAUGCCUAUGCCCCACUCAGUGCAACAGUAGCGGCAGUUGGUUUGCUGCUCUGCAAAAAAGGGCCAACAAAUCAUAGGCACUCCAGCGCUCACACUUUCAAUUGUGGAAUUCCACCCGUUGUGAGUUAAGAAGCCGCCAACAGCCGGGUGACUGAGAACUUGCUCUUGAGGACACCAACCUGCUAACAGACCCCUCUCUUUCGUCUCUGCCACGAAUUCUGGCGGAAGAAUGGCCGCGUCACCGGACACAAGAUCUGGCCUGAUUAUCCAUAAGAACGUCUGAUUGCUAUUCACCAGUCCCCAAGCAAACUCAUUGAGUUGCUGCGAUGUCAUGACCGUGACGCUCCCGAAAUUCACGUAAACAACAGAGUUGGGCUCUUUGGAGUCCAGCCACUCCAGACAUUCCGGCUCUUCUUUCCACAGAUUCGAUUCCAUCAACUUCAAAUCGUUAUCUUGGAUCUGACUCAUGAGUUUGUGCAGGGGACCGAUGGUGUAGAUUGGGGGAAACAUCUGAGAAAGUGCAUCCAAAACUUCAUGCUCUAGAGCAUCAAAUGUAUUGAAAAUGAGGGCAGAUGCCUUGCGAGCUCUUUCAGCCUCCCGCAAUGGAAAUUCCAGCAUAAUGUCAUUUGGGUCCGUCGUUCGAAUGAAGCUUGGGAUAUCCCUCAAACGGAUACCUUUCAUACCCGGUAUCCAAUCAAUAACGGUAUCCAGAUACCCAUUUGUUAGGUAACUCUCAUCUGCAUUUCAUAGAAAGGAGGGGAAAAAAUAUGAGAAUCCGUAUUGAGCUUAGCUUUGAAGUAAUUAAAUGCAAAGUUGGUCAGUAUUUGAUUCAUUUGAAUGAUACCUUUGAGUGGAGCCAAACCCUUAUCGAUAAGAUUGCGAUAUUGCACGUAGCCCAUGAAGCCGCAAGCACUAGUUGUCCAGAAAAGAACUUCAGGAACGCCAAGCUCUUGAGCAGCAUCAAGAGUGAAGCUCAUGGCGCCAUCAGAAACUAUGCAAGUGACUGGAGGGCCAUCGUGGUUGAGGUUGGAAAGAAGGUCUCUAAAGGGAGGCAGGCAGUGUUUUGUGGUGGAGACACAGAGAGCGGGAGUGUCUUGGGUGGCAUCAACAUUGGAGGGAGGGAGACCAUCGGGAAUGGUCUUGAAUUGGAAGGAGGGGAUGCCUUUGAGGGAGUCUGGACCCCGAGAUUUGAGCAGGCGGUUAUGGUUGUACUCUGUGUUGACAAAGGUAAUGUGGAACCCUCUGAAAUGAAGGAACUUUGCUAGUUUUAGCAUAGGGUUUAUGUGGCCCUGUGCUGGGUACGGUAUGCAAACUGCAUGUGGCUUCUCAGCUGAGGCUAAGGAACCCAUUCUCUCUUUCUCUCUCUCUCACUUUCACUCUGCUCUCAAUUGGUAUAUGCCCAUGACAUUGGAAGUAGCUUGGGUUUUAUAGCCCCAGGAGAGAGGGUCAAACACUUUACUUAUAUAUAUAUAUAUUAAAGUCAGAAGUCAAAUAAAUGCUGCAAUAUUAAUAUAUGUACAGCUGUAUCAGAGAGUAACUGAAGGUCAACUUGGCUCUCUCCUUUAUCUAGGUUAACCCACCUGUCCUCCAUACUUCACGGCAGGUGCCUAAUGCUUUAAACACUUUACUUAUAUACAAUAUUAAUAUAUGUACAGCUGUAUCAGAGAGUAACUGAAGGUCAAACUUGGCUCUCUCCUUUAUCUAGGUUAACCCACCUGUCCUCCAUACUUCACGGCAGGUGCCUAAUGCUUUUCAUAGGAGAUGUACAACAAAUUCAAUAUUUACACAAUUAUCAACUUUUUACUUUUAAGCAAUCCAAGAUUCCCAACGAUAUAUGAAUACCUAUUUUUGUAAUGCAGUAGGAUCUUGACAAUCAAUUACUCUAAAAACUCGUUUCAAGUUGUCGGAUGUCCACACCUAUAUAUUAUUAUUUAUAGGUGUGCGAGUGGAUGAGAAAUCUAUUAUACAUGAUGUUAAUGGUUAAGUCGGACCCAUUCAAACAAAAGAUGAAAUCGGUAUAUAUAAUGGAAACAAAGAGGUGCUAAUCGGGACUUUUCUCAAUAGUAUAGUAAUUUUAAAAAGUUAUGCUUAAAUUAUUAUAGUAGAAGAAGUUAUUAUAAAUAUAUGGUAGUUUUUGCCACAUAGGAGAGAGGAGAGAGGGUGAGAGAGAGGAGAUAGGAGAGAGGAGAGAGGGUGAACGGAUAAAUUUUUUAAUUCCAUGAAAAAAAAAAUUAUAUUUUUUUAAAAAAAUAUAUAUUCUUUUUAAAAAAUUCCUAUUUAUUCAAGGGAACUCGUCUCUUCAAGAGACGAGUUCCAUGAAAAAAGACAAGGGAAAGACGAGUUACCAGGGAAAAAAAUAUAUAUAUUUUUUUUAAAUAUAUUUUUUAUUUAAAAAAAAUCCUAAAUUAAAUUUAAAAAAAUUUCCUAAAUGGAACUCGUCUCUUUGGGAAAUUUUUUUUUUUUUUAAAUAUAUAUAUUUUUAAAAAAAAAAUAUUUUUUUUUACAUGGGAACUCGUCUCUUGAAGAGACGAGUUCCCUUUAGGAAUUUUGAGGAUUUGUUUUUUUUUUUUAAUAUAUAUAUUUAAAAAAUAUUUUUUGUUUUUUUACAUNNNNNNNNNNNNNNNNNNNNNNNNNNNNNNNNNNNNNNNNNNNNNNNNNNNNNNNNNNNNNNNNNNNNNNNNNNNNNNNNNNNNNNNNNNNNNNNNNNNNAAAAAAAAAUAUAUUUUUUUAAAAAAAUAUAUAUUUUUUUUAAAAAAAUUCUAUUUAUUUAAAGGGAAUUGUCUUUUCCAAAGACGAAUUUCCUGAAAAAAAACCAGGGGAAGGGGGGUUUCCCGGGGAAAAAAAAUAUAUUUUUUUUUUUAAAAUAUUUUUUUUUUAAAAAAAAUCCUAAAUUAAAAUUUAAAAAAUUUUCUAAAAGGAAAUUGUUUUUUUGGGAAAAUUUUUUUUUUUUUAAAAAUAUAUAUUUUUAAAAAAAAAAUUUUUUUUUUUUCAAGGGAAAUUGUUUUUUGAAGAGGCGAGUUUCCCUUUGGAAUUUUGGGGAUUUUUUUUUUUUUUUUUAAAUAUAUAUUUUAAAAAAUUUUUUUUUUUUUUUUCCAGGGAAGGGACGAGUUUCCUUUGAAAAUGUUUUUUUUUUUUUUUUUUUUUUUUUUUUUUUUUUUUAAUUUGGGAUUUUUUUAAAUAAAAAAUAUAUUUUUACAAAAAAAUAUUUUUUUUCCCUAAAGGAACUCGUCUCUUUUUAAUUUAGGAUUUUUUUUAAAUAAAAAAUAUAUUUAAAAAAUAUAUAUAUAUUUUCCCAUGGGAACUCGUCUCUUCAAGAGACGACUUCCCUUUACGAAAUUUUUUUUUUUUAAAAAAAAUAUUUUUUUUACAUGGGAACUCGUCUCUUGAGGAGACGAGUUCCCUUUAGGAAUUUUGAGGAAUUAUUAUUAUUAUUUUUUUUUAAUAUAUAUAUAUAUAUAUUUUUACAUGGGAACUCGUCUCUUGAAGAGACGAGUUCCUUUAGGAUUUAUUUAUUUAUUUUUUUUUAAUUUGGGAUUUUUUUAAAAUAAAAAAUAUAUUUAAAAAAAAAUAUUUUUUUCAAGAGACGAGUUCCCUUUAGGAAUUUUUUUUUUUAAAUAUAUAUAUUUUUUUAAAAAAAAAAUUUUACAUGGGAACUCGUCUCUUGAAGAGACGAGUUCCCUUGAGGAAUUGUUGUUGUUUUUUUUUUUUUUUUGGGAUUUUUUUAAAUAAAAAAAAUAUUUUUUUUCCCAAAGGGAACUCGUCUCUUGAGUUCCUUUAGGAAUUUUUUUUUUUUUUAAUUUGGGAUUUUUUUUAAAUAAAAACUAUAUUUAAAAAAAAAAUAUUUUUUUUCCCAUGGGAACUCGUCUCUUCAGACGAGUUCCUUUAGGAAAUUUUUUUUUUUUUUAGAUAUAUAUAUUUAAAAAAAAAAUAUUUUUUUUUACAUGGGAACUCGUCUCUUCAAGAGACGAGUUCCCUUUAGGAAUUUUGAGGAAUUGUUUUUUUUUUUUUUUUUUUUUUUUAAUAUAUAUAUUUAAAAAAAAAAAAAUUUACAUGGGAACUCGUCUCUUGAAGAGACGAGUUCCCUUUGGAAUUGUUUUUUUUUUUUUUUAUUCAGGAUUUUUUUAAAUAAAAAAUAUAUUUAAAAAAAAAAUAUUUUUUUUCCUAAAGGGAAUUUUUUUUUCUUUUUUUUAAUUUGGGAUUUUUUUUCCCAGGGAACCCGCCCCUUCAGACAAGUUCCUUUAGGGAAUUUUUUUUUUUUUUAAAAAAAUAAAAAUUUUUUUUAAAUAUAAAAAAUUUUUUUAAAAAAAAUUUUUUUUUUACGGGGAAACCCGUCUUUUGAAGAGACGAGUUCCUUUUAGGAAUUUUUUUUUUUUUUUUAAUUGGGGAUGGUUUUUAAAAAAAAAAUUUAUUUUUUUUUUUUAAAANNNNNNNNNNNNNNNNNNNNNNNNNNNNNNNNNNNNNNNNNNNNNNNNNNNNNNNNNNNNNNNNNNNNNNNNNNNNNNNNNNNNNNNNNNNNNNNNNNNNGGUCCCUUUGGAAAUUUUUUUUUUUUUAAUUUGGGGUUUUUUUUAAAAAAAAACUUUUUUUUAAAAAAAAAUUUUUUUUUUUCCAAGGGAAAUUUUUUUUUUACGAAGGGUUCCCUUUGGAAAAUUUUUUUUUUUUUUGAAAUAAUAUUUUUUAAAAAAAAAAAAUUUUUUUUUCCAGGGAAAUUGUUUUUUCCAAAGACGAGUUUCCCUUUGGAAAUUUUGGGAAAUUUUUUUUUUUUUUUUUUUUUUUUUUAAUAUAUAUAUUUAAAAAAAAAAAAAUUUACAUGGGAACUCGUCUCUUGAAGAGACGAGUUCCCUUUGGAAUUGUUUUUUUUUUUUUUUAUUCAGGAUUUUUUUAAAUAAAAAAUAUAUUUAAAAAAAAAAUAUUUUUUUUCCUAAAGGGAAUUUUUUUUUCUUUUUUUUAAUUUGGGAUUUUUUUUCCCAUGGAACUCGUCUCUUCAGACGAGUUCCUUUAGGGAAUUUUUUUUUUUUUUAAAUAUAUAUAUAUUUUUUUUAAAUAUAUAUAUAUUUUUUAAAAAAAAUAUUUUUUUUACAUGGAAACUCGUCUUUUGAAGAGACGAGUUCCCUUUAGGAAUUUUUUUUUUUUUUUUAAAUUGGGAUUGUUUUUAAAUAAAAAAUAUAUUUUUUUUUUUUAAAAAAAAAAUUUUCCCAUGGGAACUCAUCUCUUGAAGAGACGAGUUCCCUUUAGGAAAUUAUUUAUUUAUUUAUUUAAUUUGGGAUUUUUUUUAAAUAAAAUAUAUAUUUAAAAAAAAAAUAUUUUUUUUCCCAUGGGAACUCGUCUAUUCAAGAGACGAGUUUCCUUUAGUUCCAAAUUGUUUUUUUUUUUUAAUUUGUGAAUUUUUUUUUUAAAAUAUAUAUUUUUUGUAAUGGGAACUCGUCUCUUGAAGAGACAAGUUUCCUUGAAGAAUUGUCUUUUUUUUUUUUUUUUUUAAUUUGAGAAUUUUUUUAAAAAUAUAUAUAUAUUUUUUUUCAUGGAACUCGUCUCUUGAAGAGACGAGUUCCCUAAUGGGGAAUUUUCUUUAAAAAAUAUAUAUUUUUUGUUUCAUGGAACUCGUCUCUUGAAGAGACGAGUUCCCUUUUUAAAAAAAAUUUAUCCGUUCACCCUCUCUCCUCUCUCCUAUCUCCUCUCUCCUUUCUCUCACCCUCUCUCCUCUCUCCUCUCUCCUAUCUCCUUUCUCCUCUCUCCUAUGUGGCAAAAACUACCAUAUAUUUGUAAUAACUUCUUCUACUACAAUAAUUUAAGCAUAACUUUUUUAAAUUACUGUACUAUUGAGAAAAGUCCGUGCUAAUCGCUAUGAAUUGAAGACAAAAUGCAUCCACCCCAUUCAGAAAUGUUGACCAUAAGAUGAAAUAAAAUAUUUAGAGAAGAUAGAUUAAGGGCGGUGACAAGAUUGAGGGGCUUAAAAGACAUGUCACUGAGUGAUGCUAAGGGCGACCGAAAAAAAGAAAUCUUAUCCCUGUGAGAGAUUCCUUGGGCGGUCUGAAUGUUUUUGCUGGCUUCCUUUGCCAUUCUUUCACGUACCUUAUGUUCGCAUUCCUGGAAAGACAACUCCCAUCUUCAUUCUUUCUUUUCAUGCAAUCAUUAUGAAGACCACAAACUUCAGUAUUGUACGGCUCUAUUUGGGUCUAUAUUUUCUGGUCAUUUUCUUGAUCCUUCCGUGAACCAUUGGAACGCCAUGGAGCUUAACUUCUUGUUUUUUUAAUAUAAUAUAAUAAGGAAAAGUGUGACAACCUCUAAAACAUGAACAUCAAAUGCAGGUAAGUUAAGACAUAGGACACGAAAGCCACAGGAAAAUGACAUUAGAUGAAAUAUUUCUCAAUUUGGAAAGCGGAUUAUACAAUCUUUUCCAUAGUUUGAGGCUAAAGAUAUUUUGAGCUUUAACCCUCGCAAUUGUUUUGAUCACAUUUAAGAAAAUUAAUUCGAUAUGCUGAUCUAAUUCAAAUCUUCAAUAUUGUACCAACUUAUACUGUAAUUAAGUAUUUUUUUCUUUCUUUCUUUAGAAUUUUCCCUAAACCAAACACAACCUUAGCUAUUUGUAAUUCUACAAACCUAAAAGAGUUGAGAAUCUAAGCAUGAGGUUUUUUUUUUUUUUUUCUCUUUAAGAAAUAGAAAAUCUAGUGGAAUAAGUGGCGAUUUUGUACCCUCAUAUGAAAUGGACCUUGUUAGAGUUUGGGAUGAAAACACGUCAAUCCCAUUCCAGGCCCACCUCAUCGCAUUGGCUAAAGAGGUUACAGGGAACCAAGUGGGGGUGACCUUAGAUGGGCCAAGUUCAGCCCAAGGUUGAUUUGCCCUAAAAUCACAAGACCAGGGCCCGAUCAACGCAGUUGUAGAUUUCACAACAGCGAUUAUCUUUAAGUAUUUGAUAUUAUAUAAUGGAAAAUUUUCUAAUUUACAAAAUGAUCAUGCGUGAUUUUACUAAAAAAUAGAUUGGAAUUUGGGCAUGAUCUUGGUUCAAUGUAUCAAGGAGAUUUUCCCCUUUUUCAAUGAUCAUGUAGAUUGCUGUUUUCAGUCAACAAAUACGGAUUACUAAAAAACUUUAAAACUAAAAAAUAUAAAAAUAAAAUAUUAGAUUUCACUUUGCUAAAUCACACUAAUUAAAAAUAUAAAUUCAAGAAAUAAUUGAAAAUACGAUGAGAGUAAAUAUUUAAUUUUGUUAUUUUUAAGUUUUUUGUUUUAAUUGUAUUUAAUUUUUCAACUAUUUUAGUUUUAAUUGUUAUAUUUAUUUUUAAAAUUUCUUAUUUUAUUGUUUAUGUCAACUAACAAAUUUUUUAUUUAAUUUAUUUUUUAAAAAAUAAGAAGAUGAAUGGAUUUAUUUAUUACAAGAUAUAAAAUCAAGAUAUUUUUUUAAAAUUAGGAUUUAUAUAAUACAAGAUAAUUUUUAGAAUUUCAAACAGAUUUGAAAAUCUAUUCAUAUUAAAGUUAUUUGCCCAUAAAUACAUCUCCAUAACUUCAAAAGAGUUGGAGAUCUAAAUUUAUUUAGAGUGAGUUCAUUUAAAAGAAAGCUUAAAUAGCCACAAGCAUUCAGGGGUUAUUGCGCCGCUUGCAAACAUGGAUCAUGUUGUCAAAGGUUGUUGCAUUGUAUUAUAGACAUGGUAUAGGAAGAGUAUAAAUAAUUUUUUUUAUAUUAUAUUUUUGGGAAGAAUCCUGUAAAUUUAUUUUAUUUUAUUUUAUUAGUUUUAUAUUUUUGGGAAGAAUCCUAUUGAGAUUGUGCUAAUGGAGUCUCAUUCCUUAUAUAAGUAAAAUCCCCUUCCACUUUGAGUCUGUUCUGAUUACAAGUAGAGUCUCAUUGGGAGUGUACAGGUCACCCCUCACUCUCUAAAUAUGAAUACCAAUUUUUCAAGAUAAUUUUUUAGAGAGUCUUUUCAUACAUCUAUUUGGAGGAAUUUUUUUUCAAAACUCGAGCCGUACAUCUCGUUUAUGCAAGAUCUAACUGUUGAAUUACACCGAGUUCGUCUUUGAGGAUGGUGAAUCUAUUUCAAGAAUAGUAUUUGUCACGCCUCAACCUAAGUUUUUCUUUUUAUUAAUUUUGUUCUUAUUUGUGUCUUUUGCACUAAUCAUUUGUUUCCAUACCUUUAAAUCUAACACAUGGAUCAAGUUGUAAAUUAAUAAACAUGCAUCACGUUGUAAGAGGUUGUUGCAUUGCAUUACAUAUAUUCAUCAAAUUAUAGGUAUUAAAAGUGUCAUGUAGAUGUGUAUAAAUUUAACUUUGAUAUAUAUACAAAAUUUAUUUCCAAAAUACUUUCCAAAAAGUUUUUUUAAACACGUCUGAUUUGAAUAUUAAUAUUCAAAGAAUAGACUUUGAAGGAGGUUUGAGUUUCAUGAAGGAAAAGAAAAACACUUUCCAAAAAUUCUUUUAUAAGCACGUGUCAUUUGAAUAUUAAUAUUCAAAGAAUAGACUUUGAAGGAGCUUUGGGUUUCAUGAAGGAAAAAAAUGAUGUUGGAGAGAAGACCGCUUCUAAUACCACCAGGUGUGCAAAAUCUUUCCAAAUAUACAAAUUUGAAAAUAAAUUUAUUUUUAUUAAUUUAAAAUUUUGAGAAUACGAUCCUUAUUUUAUCUUCUAAUUUAUUUAAUAAUUAAUAUCUAACAAUUAAUUAAGCUUAGGCUUUGAUUUGGGCAUAUGACACAUGUCAUGAUCCUAUUUAAACACACAGAUGAUAUGUCAUAAUUAGUAACAGAAGGAAUUUAAAGAAUUUCAAUAUGUUAAUAAAUGAACAAAAUUUUAAAUUUCUUAUCUUUUAAAAAAAAAUUGCUUUAUUUAGUUUCUUUUGAAUGGACUCUAUAUGACAAUUAUUUUUAGUGGAAUAUUUAUCUUGGAUUUUAUAGAACAAAAUUUAAAAUGUUUAAUUGAUAAUAUAGGAUCAUAGUUGAAACAAUAAAAUUUAUUUAUCACUUAAAAGAAUUAAUUAAAUAGAUUUAAUAGAAUAAUAAAAAAAUUUGUUAGGAAUAUUUGAAUUUGAAAAACCUUUAAAGAUCCAAAAUUUUGUAUAACAAGAAUUUAAAAGAUUUAAUUGGCAAUUAAGAAUCCUAAUGGCAAAAGGAUUUGAGCAAACAAAAUUUAUUGGCAAUUUUUUUUAUAAAAAAAAGCUGAUAUAUUUAAUUUAAUAUUUAUAAAUUCAAGUAUUAAUAAUAUUUGAAUUAAAAAACAUAAAAACAAAAAAAAAACAAAACAAAACAAAACAAAACUAAACUGGAAGACUUAUAUUUUGAAGGGUUUAUGUUGAUUGGCUUUCAAACACCACAAAAGUUUUAAUUUGAAUCUUGCAGAUUUUUGUGUAGAGCAAAUUAAAAUUUUGAUUGGUCGUUUAAAUUUCAAGUGUCACAAAAAAGUUUUGCUUUAAUUUAUGUAAGUGGCGCCGAAUUUAUUUUAUUUUAUUAUUUUUUGCUAUUCAAAAAUGAGUGAUGUUAGAAAUAUGUUUAUAAAUAAAGUAAAGAAUUAAAUAGGAGACUUCAAUCAAUGAAACUACAUCUUUUAAAGUUAUUUCAUAAAUCUAUUUCUUUAUUUUCUUCUUUUUUUCAUUAUUUUCUUUUCUAUUAUCAACCGUAUAAAAAGUAUAUGAUAAACCUACACUUUUAUCUUUUAUUUUAUUUAUAUGUAAUAAAAUUAUACUUUAAUUUUAUGGUAACUUUGAUUUUAUAUUUUAUUUAUAUAUGAUAAAAUUAUACUUUGAUUUUAUAUUUUAUUUAUUUUAUUGAAGCGCAUAAACAUACGUGGAUAUCAAUUAGAAAAUAUGUUUUUCUUUCUAGUAAAAAAUUAUUUAAAAAAUAUCAUAAUUAGAUAUUAUGAAAAAUAAGUGCAAUCCUCAUAACUGAAAGUUAUGAGAUAAAUAACAAAAUUACAAGUAUACAGUAUGCAUAUGACUUUUAAUUACUUUUUAAUUAUAUUGUAUAAUUGGAAGUCAACAAUAUUGUGUAGGUAGAAGCUAUAGAAUGAAAUAGUUCAUAACCUAAAACUAUGUAUAAAUUUACACAAUGAAUUCAUAACAUGAAGUUAUGUACAAAUUUGCUCAAUAAAUAGUUCAUAACCUGAAAUUAUAUAUAAAUUUAUAUAUUUUUUUUAUUCUGACAAAAUAAUUUGAAGUUAUAAAAAAUAUUAAUUUUUAAUUUCUAUUUUGUAUUCAUACACUUUUAUCAUAUUUGUAAUUAACAACAAAACAUAGCAAAAUCUUAUAUCAUUAUAUUUUUAGACAUUAUUUAUUUGAUAAAAUAUUGUUAAAUAAUUUUAUUAAUUUGUUUAUAUUUUAUUUCAAUAAAUUGAAAUAUUUUCUCAUUAAAUUAUUGCAUAUAUAGUUUUCAAAAAAUGUCAAGCUUGACAAAGCUUAGGUUUGUUGUCCUUGAUAUUUUAAGGCAAAAACUACUUAUCAUAAGUUCUAGAUACUAAAAUUCACCUAAAUGUAAUGAAUCUUGGAAAUAUUACUAAAAAGGAAAAUGACACAUCCUUGCAUAAUUGUACCAAAGCUUUAAUAUUCCUUGUCAUCACAUUAACGAAGGAUUAAAAGAUGAAUACCUUAUGGUAAAAAUUCCUUUCAUCAUUUGGAAUAAUCUAAGUGAACGAUAUGACCACCAAAAAAUUACAAUCCUUCCAAAAGCAUGUUAUGAUGGGAUGUACUUGAGAUUAUAAGAUUUCAUGUUUUUUAGUGGCUACAACUUAGUUUUAUUCAAAAUUAGCUCACAAUUAAAAUUAUGUGGAGAGAAAGUCAUUGAAGAAGAUAUGCUUAAAAAGACAUUUACGACUUUUCAUGUUGUGAAUGUACUCCUAUAGUAGCAAUAAUGAGAGCGUCGUUUCAUUAAAUAUUCAAAAUUGAUUUAAUGUUUUCUUAUGGUUGAACAAAAUAAUGAGCUUUUACUGAAAAACCAUCAAUCUCGUCCUAUUGGAUCUGUGUCAUUACCUAAAGCUAAUGUCCCAUAUGUCCAAACUUCUGAACAUGGACAAGAACGUGGAUAUGGAUAAGGUUGAGGUAGAGGAUGUGGUCGCGAUUGAGGUCCUAGUAAAUACAAUCCAUCACAUUGAGUUAUAGGUUUUUUUUUUUUUUUAGAAUCAAUCAUUUUAAUUGAUGUAUUAGUGGACCUUUAGGUUAUAGUUUGGACAAAUGUGUCAUUGGCUUCAAGCAAUGACACGGUCCCAACAUGAUGAAAUUAAUGGUUUUUCGGUAAAAGUUCCCUAUUUUGUUCAAUCAUAAGAAGACAUGAAAUUAAUUCUAAAUAUUUGGUGAAACAACGCUCUUAAUAUUGUUGCUGCAUGAGCACAUUUGAGGCAUGAAAAGUCGUAAAUGUCUUUUCAAGUAUAUCUUUUUUAGUGAGUUUUUCUUCACAUAAUUUUAAUUGUGAGCUAAUUUUGAAUAAAGUCAAGUUGUAAUCAUUAACAAACUUGAAAUCUUAUAAUUUCAAGUGCAUUCGAUCAUAGCAUACUUUUUAAAGGAUUACAGUCUUUUGGUGAUCAUAUUGUUCCUCCAAAUUAUUCCAAAUGAUGAAAGGAUCCUUGAUCACAAGGUAUUCACCUUUUAAUCCUUUAUCAAUGGGAUGACAAAGAAAUAUUAAAGUUUUUACGCAAUCCUACAAGGAUGCGUCAUUUCCUUUUUUUUAAUAGUGUUUCUAAGAUUCAUUACAUCUAGAUGAAUUUUAGCAUUCAUAACCUUUUAAUCCUUUAUCAAUGGGAUGGUGAAGGAAUAUUAAAGUUUUGACAUGAUCGUGUAAGAAUGCGUCAUUUCCUUUUUUAAUAGUAUUUCCAAGAUUCAUUACAUCUUGAUGAAUUUUAGUAUUCAUAACCCAAGAUAAAUAGUUUUUGCCAGAAAUAUUGAGGGUAACAAAUUCAAGCUUUGCCAAUUUUGACAUUUUCUAAAAACUAUAUAUGCAAUAAUUUAAUUAGAAAAUAUUUCAAUUUAUCAAAAUAAAAUGUAAAAAAAUUAAUAAAAUUAUUUAACAAUAUUUCAUUAAGUAAAUAGUGUCUAAAAAUAUAAUGAUCUAAAAUCCUGCUAUAUUUUGUUGUCAAUUAUAAAUAUGGUCAAAAUACGUGAAUACGAAAUAGAAUUUAAAAACUAAUUUUUUUUUAUAACUGCAAGCUAUGUUUAUUUUGUUAGAAUAAAAAAAUGUACAAUUUAUAAAUAGCUUCAAAUUAUGAACUAUUCAUUAUGCAAAUUUGCACAUACCUUAAGGUUAUAAUCUAUUCAUUCUAUAGCUUUUAACCAUAUAAUGUUGUUUUAUAUAACUUUCAAUUAUAAAGUAUAAUUAAAAAGAAAUUAGGAAUCAUAUGUAUAACUUCUUACUAUAUAUUUGUAAUGAUGUAAUUUACCCCAUAACUUCUACUUAUGAGGAUUAUAUAUAUUUUUUAUAUAUAACUUCAAGUUAUGAUCUUUUUUCAUAAUUUUUUACUAAAAAAAAAACAUAUUUUCAAAAUAAUAUCUGCAUAUGUUUAUGUAUUUAUAUACGAUAAGCAAAAUAGAAAAUCAAAGUAUAAUUUUAUCACAUAUAAAUAAAAUAGAAAAUAAAAGUAUAGGUUCAUCACAUACCUUUCAUGUGAGAAAAAAGUUUUUCUGGCAGCAAAUUCAUCACUCUUUGUUAUCAAAAAGUUUUUCUAAGGGGAAUAUAAGUUGCUCGAGUUGAUCUUCAAUAAGUAGUUUAGUAUGCAUAAAGUACUUUUUCACGUCAAUCUCUCCUUAACUAAUCAACCAUUGUUUAAGAUAGAUUGUAGAGAGUUUUAUUGAAGUCUCAAUAAGACCAUUAACCAGUGCAUUACAUAUGGAAGAGUUGUAUUAUUGUUUGAAUUCAAAGUUUUCAUAUAAUUUGUGCAUCAAAUUGUUAUAGACAUUAUUUUCAUUAUUGGUAAGAAUUUAGUGAGGAACACUACAUAGAUGCUAGUCCAAAGGAAGUUAAUAGUUGUUUCAUUAUUAACUUCCUUUAGAGUCAGUUUUGCCCAUUUGAAAAAACAAUCUAUAGCCACCAAUACACAAAUGCCUGAUCAUAUGAAGAUUUUAGUCUAAUUGAUCAUAUGAAAUUAAUUAAGUCCUCAUGCAUCAAAGGACCCAAUGCCACCCUUGGAUGUAAUGGCUCUAAGGUAGUAUCUCAUUCUCUUUAUUUAUUUAAAAACGGAUUAUACCAUGUCUAGGCCAAGUAUAAGAGCUAUUAUUGGAGUAGUUUCUUGUAAGGUAAAACAAUACGGGACGAUGUUUCAUUUAGGAGUAACAAAUCCAACCUUGAUACUACUCACUCACAACAUAAUUAUUUUAUUUAUUUAAUUAUUAAAAUUUAUUUAUUUAUUUUGAAUCUCAUAUAGAUGAUAUGCGAAAAUUAGUGAUCGAAUAACUACAAUCAAAUAAUUUGUCAUACUUGUGCAAUAAAUUACUUUGUAAUAUUUUAUUAAUAAUUUAAUAAAGCUUUUUAACAUUUUUUUUAAUAUAAGAUCAGCAUAAAUGCCAACUGUUGUGACUUUCUGAAACGGGCCGAUUAUUCGGCCUGUCAUAGAGUUACUUUCUCUUUUCAGGUCUUUUGGGUUUGAUGAUUUGGAGUGGGUAUGAUAUGUAGAACACUUGAGAAAAAAAAAAAAAUUACGAUUAAGAAGAAAUUAGAAUAUCCACACAUGUACAAUCCACUAAAAGUCAACCUUGUCAAACAACAGUUGAGCACUGCGAAGUAGAAGGGUCAAGCACUGCAGGUAGGAGGUAUUUCCUGCUGUUUACACCCAGCGCAUUAUAGCUCGCACCGGUGCUGGAAUCCACCAACAGCUCUCCGGCGUAUCCCGGAUAAGCUCCUUUCCCAUAAAUUCCUGGGCAAGCUGAAGCCACCUCCAGAGGCGCCUCAGCUGAGCCCUGGAAAUAGCCGUUUCCAAAAGGGUUGGUUACAGUUCCGGCCAGAAGAGUCGCUAUAUUUUCGACCAUGCCAUCCAACCCCACGUCCCCGUUGGGUGCAAUCAGUGGUGUUGUCUGUGGUCCGUAGAUGGGUUGGUGGAAGGGCCACGCGCAUUGGCCAGGGCACUGAGUCUCCGAGUUCCCAACCCAGAUGAAGGCUGACCUCUUUCUAGCGUCCGACCCAUGAAACCCGCAGUUGCUCAUACAGAAGCCUUCAACUGCAACGUCUUUUGCUGUGAGAACCAGAGUUAACCCACUGGAUUUGGAGCUUACAGCACGAGCCAACUCGGAAAUCUGGGAUUUCUUGAGGGUUUUGCCCAUGGAACAGGACUCAUCUGAGAUUUGAUUGGACAGUUCAAUUUGGAUCUCCCUUUUGCCAGCCUUUUUCAAGUAGGUUUGGAUAGUUUUCCACCACUGCGAGGUUGAAGGUUUUUUAGAGGAGAGAUUCUCUGGUUGAUCAUGUGGGUCGAGGGAGAGAAGAAAGUCUGCAACAAUAGAUUUCUGAGCCGGUGAGAAUUGUCCGUACCAAAGAAUUGAUACUGGGAGAUGUCCUUCAAGCAAAGCGCCAUUAUGGUAUGUGAGAGCCAUGGGUGGUGGCUGGUACAAUGAAGUUAGCUUUCUUGCGCAGAAACACGGGCUAAUGAAGAACAAGUGAAAAAUAACAACGACAACAACAAGAGAGUGUGUUUUGAGGGAGAGAGAGAAAGCCAUUUCAGAGAUAAACUAAAGAGUGUUGAUGUUCGAAUAAAGGACAGAUAGUUUAAAAUUUUAGAGAGAAAGGUUUUGGCUUGAGUGGUGUGAGAGAGAGUCAGGGAGUGGUGAGAGUAUAUGUAGGCGGGAAGGUGCAUGCACCGUGCCGAUAAACUGCCCUUGUACCUUUCAUCACCAGCUUAGCAGAUAAAAAAAUUAGAGAGAUCACGAGAAUUUGGAAAGAUGAGGUGAACGGGGAACAUCUGGCAAGAAUCUCUCUCUGUGCGUAAAGUAUUUUUUGUAUAGAGAUUAGGAGACUCUGCUGACGCUUACAUCGAUUUCAUAGAUGGUAAUGUGGCAUGCAAGGAGGGAAGUACAACCGCGACUCUUAAUGGACAAAUGGGUGGAGCUAUGGGCUGCAUGUGUUUGGAGCUGUUUCCUAGGCAGUUUCACAUUUCUUCUUCAUUAAUUAUAAUCUUUUUUAAAAGAGGAUAACUCAGAUUAAUUCAAUUGAUUUAAGGGCACCCCAACAAUUAAGAGCAUGUCUUAGCCAAGAGAGAAAUGUCCCAUUUGUUCAGACUAAAGUUGUCCACAUCAACUUGGCUUUGUCUUCUAACAUCUGCCUGAGGGCUCAGGACCUCGUUGUUGUUGCAUAAUAAUAAGUGUUUUGCAGUACUGCUGUUGGGGAUUAUGAUUUUGGUGUUUUCAAAACUCAUGUGUCCAAAUGGAGGUAGCCCAGGUUCAUAUGUACUGUAGUAAUGAUCAGAAGUCUAUCCUCAUCUAACAUGCAAUGCACUUGCCCAUACAUCAUGGGCAUUCCGAAAGUUUAGGUUCAUAUUGCAGAAAAAAUGAUGGCAGGCACUAAGCUUGCCAUGCUCUUGUGGGUCCUAAUGUUAUGUCACAUGCCUCUCUUCAUUGGGAGUGGGUGGGGUAGCUAUAAGUUGGGUAUUCUGCAAUCAACCUGGGAUAUAUAAACCUAUAGCCCAUUUCCUAUAUGCAUGUAGUAUAGUUGAUUACACAGCCUAUCCUUUUGGAAUAGGCUUUAAACUCACCUAACCAACACGGAUUAAAUUUCAUCAGCAGUACAGUCCCCUUGGCCGGUCCGUCAAAGGGUUCCCCAUCAGAGCAGUUGAAUUAAAGCAUCUCAUUAAACAUUGUUAUGGUCAUCAUUUGAUUUGACCUUUGACCUAAAAGGUUCCUUCCCAAACUUUAGUUGGAGAAUAAUGAUGGAAAUCAGAUUAAGAUUAGGAUCAAUCGAAUUGGGAGUCAUAGGAAAAAUCUCAUGAAAACAAACUGACUUGUUUUAAUUAUCCACAUUUGCAUAUCACUAAUCUGUUCGAUCUACUCAAAAGAAAAUUCAUUUAAUUCUAAAUGCAUCCCAGCGAAUUGAGACAAUGACCACACAAUGAUCACAUGUAUUUUUACUUUUAUAGCAGUCACAAACACGCUCACAUGACCCUUUUUCUAGUGUGAAAGCCUGGUACUUGGUCGGCAAGCAGACUCUGGCAAGAAAAGUGGAAUCAUCCAUUUCUUAGAGGGCGUCCGAAAUCCAAAUAGACCGUGAAGCUUACAUUUCCCAAGCACCACUCGUGCAGCUUCAAUAUUAAACUAUUCAAACUUUCAUUAAUUGGUGAAACCAUCCUCGCAAGUAUAGAAAAUAUAUGUUGAACACAUCAACUAUCAGCAGACAGGCUGGUUGCUCGGAUCGAGUUUAUUGGAAGCUGGUGGCUUAGGAGAUUAGAGGGUGUCUUCUGAUGAUGCUACGAAUUUGAUAUUGAAAAUGUCACGAUGAUAGCUUUACUUAUUCAAUGGACGCCAAAUUCAUUAAGAAAAUGAUAGUCAAUUUGUCGCCCGUCUUCUACACAUGAUUUAUGAUCAAACGGCUUAAAUUUCAUGAUCAUGAGUCAUCAUCAUUAAUUACCCUUGAACCUAGAUUUUGAGCACUUUGAAAAUGCAGAAAUAAUGGGAAGAUUGACUGUGUGAGUGUAUUAUUGAUCUUCCAGGAAGGUGGGGCAUUGACUGUUUUACAAGCAUAUCCCACAAGGCUUGCUGCCAUCUUCUCAUACAGGAAUGAUUUUUUGGAAAUGGCUUUGAAGUGAAGGCAUCUAUGUUGAAUGGGGGACAGGAUAUACAGACCAUCCAUAUUCCUCCGGUCUCCUGCUUACCUGCAUCAAUGACUUGUAACUUCAAUAAUUGUUUUUUAAAUUUCUUUCUUCUACAAACAACUUUUUCCCUUUCUUAUAUUUGAGAAUUUGAAGAAUGUUCAAAACUAUUACCAAAAAUUACAAACUAUUAUGUUAUUUAUUCAAUAAUGUUGCAUGCAGGGAUGCCACCGGGUAUGUUUUUUUGGAUGCUUGUCCUUAAAAUUUAAAUAAUAAGUUGGGGACGGAUUUAUGAUUAUUUUUUAAAAUUGGGAUGGAUUCGGACAGGUUUAGAUAUUGUUUGUCCCACCUGCCUGAUUAUUUUUCAAAAUUAAUUUUAAAUUUUAAUUUAAUUUUGAUUUUCCCAUUUUAAAAAUAUAAUAAUAAUAAUAAUAAUAAUAAUAAUAAUAAAUUACUUUGUGAUAAAAUAAGGUAUAAAAAUUAUAAUAUUUUAAUUAUUUAUAAAAUAUAUUUAUUUUAAUGUAAUUUAAAAUUUUAAAUAAAAUAAAAUAAAAUAAUUUUACAAAAAAAAGUUAAAUAGACCUAGUGGGGCAGAAGAGAGAAAUGCAUACCUAUUUUGUCCAUCCCUUCUAUUUAAUUUUUUUAAUUGGACUGAAAUAGGAAUAAUUUUGAAUAAGGGGAAUGGAGUCGGGAUGGGAUGGCCGCCCGUUACCAUCCCUGGUUGCAUACUUGCAUGUAAAUGAAUAUAAGGCAAUAGCAGCAAUUCCCACACUCACCGAAUAUUUUUCAAAUAUUGGUUCAUCCUCUGCAUGUUGGUCAAGUCAGAAUCCUUUUCUUCUGUGUAUGCCCUGGCGCAGACACUUUAAAAUUUUUUAAAUCAUUCAAGGUCUGUUUGGUAGUUUCCAUUUUGGAAAACAAACAGUAUUUUUUUUAUAUCUAAACAUAUAUGGCCAUAGAAAUGAAAACAAACACAAUUUUUUCUUUAAUUAUUUUUUCCUUUUGAAAAAACUAUAUAGUCUAUAUUUUAUAGUUGAUACUUUCUUGAAUCUCAUCUCUCAAGAAAAUAUUUCUUUUGGAAAAAUAUGAGGAUAUCGUUAAAAAUUUGAAUUGUAAGACAUUCAAAAAUUUUCAUUUGAAUUAUUAAGAAUUUCUUAUAUGGAGAAGAAGACCACCAUUUAUAAUAAUACAUGAAUUAUUGGUUAAUUUAGAUGCUUAUCCAAUUAGCACCUCAAUUUUUCUUUGAGUUUGCAAUAAAUUAUAACUUUUAGUUGACCAAUGUAUUAAUAUGAUAUUAAAUUAUCAAUUAAUUUAAAAUUUUAAUUUAUUAGGUAAUUGAUUAAUAAUAUAUUGUAAAAUAAUGGAGAAUUUAUAGAAGCCAACCCAUCAAUUUUCACCAGACAAGCUGUUUUGCUUAGGAUUAUGCAAUAUCUUCCCAUAAUAAAUUAGAAACUAUUUGGAUGUUCAGCACUUAAUUAGGUUACAAAAAAUAGCUUAAUUUUCAUUGGCCGUGGAUGAAUCGCUUAUCAAUAAUUAGUCUCUGGAGCCUGAUUUUCAGUACUUUCAAUCAGAGAAAUAGCAAGAUUGACUCAGUCGAGAUAUUAGUUGUGUUAUUGUCCUUGAAUGAAGGGAGGGCAUGAACCCUCAACAUAUCCACAAGGCCUGCUUCCAUCUUCUCAUACAAAAAUUGAUCUGUAAAUUGCUUUAAAAUGAAGCAGUUAGGUUGAAUGGGGGACACGAUGUGCAGGCCAUUCAUAUUCUUCUGGUCUCCUCUUCGCCCGCAUGCAUGACUGGUAACUUCAAUUAUUGAUUUCCAUUAAUUCUUCUUGCGAUAUAUAUUUUUUUCCCAUCUCUUCUAUUUGAGGCUUUUAAGAGUACCCAUAGCUUUAGGAAUCAAAAUAAUUCAAAAACAAACAAACAAACAAACCCAUCCUUCCAUGUGAAUGAACAGCUUCCAUAUUCUUCCAGCUUCAAAUUGAAUUUUAGAUUCAAUUAAUUGAAAAACUAUGGCAUACUUUCAUGCCCAUCAGACAUCCAAGCAAGAAUGUAAUCUUGCUCUGAUCCAAAGGGAUGAGAAGAUGAGUGCAAAUGGACAAGUACAGCUACAAGCUCUCCACAUUACAGACAAAAAGAAUCCCUUAUGAGGUGAAAGUCAAGAAAAUGAGCAAGCAAUCUAGGCUUAGAUUCACGAGACACACCACCCGUGCCCCUACAAAGCCAUAUUAAACUGAGGAUAAAGCCUGCACCACCACCAGACACGGCGUCGAAUUUAAGAAGAGUAAUGCAAAUGGAUGCAUUAUCAAAACAUUUCAACGUUAUUAAUAUAUAGAGUUGAGAUAAGGUAGUUUUAUAAUCACAUGGAUUAAUUAGGAGUGAAUGCCUCGUGGCCCGUGGGUGCUAGCUUUUGGAUAAUGUUUUAAGAUAUCGUUGCCUGGCUCGUGAAUUCUAGGUUUUAGUCUUUUAGAUAGGGUGACGACUGGCCUCCGCCCUCCGCCCUCCGCCCUCAGCUCACCUUUCUCUUUACUUUGAUUUCCACCUAAUUUGUUUUUAUCAGGCACAAAUCCAAAGUCCAACUAAGAAGCUUCCAUUCACUAUGUCAAGCUAUCCAAUAUCAUCAUCAUAGAUUCAUAGCUUCCCUUGUCUAUUUCUUGGAAAAAUCUUUCAGGAUUUCAUUUAUUUUAUAAGAAAUUUAAUGUUAAAAAGUUGUAAAACAGUUUAAUAAACCAUACUUAAUUGCCACAAAACACCAUUCAUACGUCAUUCAUAUUCUAAUUAAAAAAAAAAUAAUUUCUUCACUGAGAAUUGAGAUUGCAAACAUUGUUUUGAUGAAAGAAUGUAAAAUUAUAUCGAAAACGAUGGGAUAAAUUUUUUUAUGCUAUUCUGAAAAUCAUUACCAUAUCAAAUUAAAAAUAUAAAUUUAAAUAGGAUUAAAAUUUUAACUAUGAGUAACUUUAAAUUUUCAAAUGUAAUUUGAGAAGUAAAAUUUAAUUUAAUAUAUUCAUUUGUAUAUCAAAAUUAGAAAAAAAUAAUCUUUCACAACAUGUUUAAAAUUUAUGUCUAAAUUAAAAAAAUUAUCAGGUACUUAUAAAUUAUUUUUCAAAUCAAUACUCCAUUUAAAUGAAUAUAAUGAAUUUGCUAUUUAUUAAACUUUCAUUUGGGUACAUUUUUAUAUUUUUACUUAAUUUCUAUCUAUAAAAUGUAGAAACUUUAAUAGAAAAAAAAUUACAAAUUUAUUUUUUGUUUUAAAAAAUUAUUUUUUAAAAUUCUAAAUUUUUAGAUGGUAAUUUUUUUUAAUACCUCACAAUUUCCAAUCAAUUUUUAGAAACCUUUUAAGAUUUUUUUUAAUAUUUUAUAUGUAAGUUACUAUUGUUUUUUGUUUUUUGUUUUUAAAUUACAUCUAAUACACUAACGCUCAUUUAGACGCAUUUCCUUCUUUUUUUUUUUUUUUUUUAAUGAUAAUAACUUUUACAACAUAUUAUAAUAGCUCCUAUGUAAAAGAUAUACACAUUUCUUGUGAUUUUUUAAAAUUUUGAGAUAAUAAUUUUUUUAGUGGCUCUAAUUUCAUAAACAAAUUUUUAAGUAAAUUUCUUGUUACAGAAGUUAUUAUUUUAUGUUUCUAAAAUAAAAAAUUGACAAAUGUAUCCAAAGUACUCAUUUACAAACUCCAUCUAUAUCAACAUUUGGAAUAACAAAAAAUAAAUUAAUCUGGGUCUUUUGGUCACAUUUUUAUUCUUUUAACUUAAAAACAAAUUUAAGAAAACAUGGUUAAAUGACCCAUGUUUUCCUUUUGAUUUUAAAAAUUGAUAAAAAAAUUUCUACUUAUUUUUAAAAAUUAUUUUUAAUUUCAUUUUUUUUAAAAAAAAAUUGUUUAUAAAGAAGAACAACCAAAUAUUUUUUUUUUUAAAUAAAGCUCUUUUUAAAUCACCAUGAAACAUGCUUUUAUUUACCACAAAAUAAAAAAACUUUUAAUUUCUUAAACAGUUUUUCAUUUAAAAAAUUUAUCCGUGUAUAAAUUUUGAAAUUGUUAGGAGCAAUGGCUUUUAAUCAUUUUGAUGACAUGCCCCAAAAUCUAAAAUUUUUAUUAAGCAAUUAAAAUAUCUCUGAGAGAUAUUUUUGUUCAAUGAAUCAAUGGAAUGGAGUGCAUGAGAAGAUAUUCAAAUGGUGUACAUGAGAAGACAUAUCAUGUUUGGUUCAAUGUUGGGGAUUAGAAAUGACAAUGAAACGAAUUGUCUCGUCCCGUCUCCAUCAUUCAAGCAUAGUAGUUUCAUUCCCACCCAAAACGCCAUCCUUACCCUGGACUACACAUCUUACUUACCCUCCACGCCUUUUACAGCUCAGCUCUCUCAUAGACAAUGAUUGGCAUCAUUAUUUGGAAAAGAAAAAGGCAGACAAUAAUCAUCGAGACAAAAAUUAAUAAAACAUAUGUUAAAAAUCCAACCUGUAAGGCUGUAACCCACCAAAAGUCCCUGAGAAGGUGCAGGGGAAAUGCUAGUAUGAUUUUGUGCACACAGUUGAUUGAGGAUUGCCAUGAAACUUAAUGUGUAAGUCAAAAUUCUAACCACUACGGAAAUAAAUCUUAAAUGGAAAAUGAAAAAUGAAAAAUAUUUGAAUAAAAGAUAUGUUUGGAGAAACAAGUCUAUCAUAAUUCUGCAUUGGUAGCAUUAUUUGGAAAAAAAUAUAAACCAUGGCUUAUCUUUUAUUAACCUGCAUUGCUCAAAGCAGUAGUAACCAAUUUUUUUUUCUUUAUUUAGAUUGGUCAAUUUUAAAUCUUGAAACACGUAGCCCCACACGUGACCAGCAAAAUGGCUUGGUACUAGGAAAAGCAAUUUGUGCCCAAAACGUGGGAGUAACAAAAUGGGUAUGAGACUUUUAGUUUUAGUCACUGGGGAGAGAAUUUUGGCAGCAACAAGUUUCUUCUUUCUUAACAUUACAGUCUUACAGAGUAAACUUAGGGCCAUGCUACCAGGGAGAGGCAAGGGAUUUGGCCCCAAAAUGUACGAUUUUUCUUUGUUAAAUCAAUGCAAACAACUAUCACCCAUUAAUUUUAAUGAGUGAAAUCAUUUUACUCCAGAAAUCAGAAGUUGCAAUAGAGUAGUAAUAGAAGGCGUUCAUAAUUUUGGGUUUAAAGUGGGAAGUUAAUUAAAAUUUGGGCAAAACGUGCUUACUGGGGGUAGUGGGCAAUAAAGAAGUGAAUAGAGGUGGUAGGGGAGCUGUCAUCCAGCUGGACUCUCAAAUGCAAAAAUGGGUAUUCGUUUAUCCCAACUCACAAGUCACAAGUCACGAGUAGUAUGUGAAUUGGCAAUGGCAGCUAAUGACUCAUGAGAAAUGGCAGAGCGCGUCAUCUCUCCUUCUCGCCUCGGAUGCUCACUGUCACACUGUUUCCCCACUCUUUUAUCAACCUCAAGGUCCCAAUGCUGACUGCCAGUUGGAUCGUCCGCGCUUCCCGAUAUUAUUUCUAUAUUGAGCCCCAAGCCCCUUCCAGCCUGUCACCUUUCCUACCUUCUCCAACGUCUCUCUCUGCCUUUUUUGCUUUUCCCAUUCAAUGCCCUUCACUCUCUCCACCGCUACGGCUCCACAGUACUCAUUCUGAGGCCUACUUUGGUCAAAUCAAAAGUCCUCUCAAACUGUAUCCAAGCUGUAUUUAGGUUUUGUCCUGUAGCUAUAAAAAUUGAAAAGGAAAGGAGAAACUGACUUUAACAGGGGCACUCCUCUGGAAACUUUUAAAAAAGUGCCGGCUGGCAUUGCCCUUUGUGUUCUUAAUGCAUACAAAAGUGCAAAUGGCUUUGUGAUUUUUCUGACUGGAGCGUGUUAUUUGGGGCCUCAGGUUUUUUAUAGAACCGCGUUGGAGAGUACCGUUGCCUCUCUCAAACUUCAACUGCCCCUUGCAUCUUUCUGAGCAGGUUCGAACGAGGCCCCACCGCACAGCCCACUCCUUCGAUUUAAAAUUGUGACACCAGACGGUCUAUAUAUAGAGACUCACACCCCUCUUGUCUCUACACAGACUCAAAACCACAUCAGCAGCCUCUCCUCCUGCUUCAUUUUCCUUGUCCACAACAUUUCUCUAUCUGCGUUCUAAAUAUGGUUUCUUUUAUCUCUAUACGCCAUUUUCUGCCAUUCCUCUUUGUGAUCUCUCUGUUCCAUGUGAGCUAUGCUGCGAGGAAGCUCAAUGAGCUGGUACAACAGCAGCCUCUGCUCUUGGAAUACCAUAAUGGCCCUCUCCUCUCUGGAAAAAUCUCUAUAAACCUAAUCUGGUACGGCAAAUUCAAGCCUUCCCAGCGGGCUAUCGUUUCAGAUUUCAUUACCUCCCUUUCUUCUUCUUCCCUGUCUCAGGACCAGCCUUCCGUUGCCACCUGGUGGAAAACCACAGAGAAGUACUACCACCUCACCUCCAAGAACCCAUCUUCACUCAAGCUCUCCUUGGGCGAACAAAUACUCGAUGAGACCUACUCGCUCGGGAAGUCACUCACAGGGAAGCAAAUCGUUCAGUUGGCUUCCAAGGGUGAACAAAUGAACGCCAUUAACGUGGUUUUGACCUCCUCUGAUGUGGCCGUGGAAGGGUUCUGCUCCAGCCGCUGCGGGACUCAUGGAUCUUCUUCGAGUUCCAAGAAUGUUCAAGUCAAGGGCAAGAACUACAAGUUUGCAUACGUCUGGGUUGGGAACUCUGAGACUCAGUGCCCUGGCCAAUGCGCCUGGCCCUUCCACCAGCCCAUCUACGGACCCCAGAGCCCACCGCUAGUCGCACCGAACAACGAUGUGGGUCUGGAUGGCAUAGUCAUAAACUUGGCUAGCCUCUUGGCUGGAACUGCGACCAACCCUUUUGGAAAUGGCUACUUCCAGGGUCCGGCGGAGGCGCCCCUAGAAGCUGCAUCGGCUUGCCCUGGGGUUUACGGGAAGGGGGCAUACCCUGGGUAUGCUGGGGAUUUGUUGGUGGAUUCAGUGACUGGUGCUAGCUAUAAUGCCCAUGGUGCCAACGGGAGGAAGUACUUGCUUCCUGCCUUGUAUGAUCCUUCUACAUCCUCGUGUUCUACUCUGGUCUGAAGCAGAUUAGUGUCUUGACGACAGAAACUUCGUAGAAUUUACAGGCCUUAGAAAAAUCCAGAGAGAUACUGUUAUUCAUUCAUUUAUUUGUUCUUCCCGUGGUAGUUUCAAUAAUAUCAAAGCAAAUUGGUUUGGUUUGCUUUUUUCACUUGAAUGCAUCUUUCCAAAUUACAAUGCCUCAACAUGAAUGAAUGAGGUGAUUUGUUGCAGUGUUGAGGAUAUUCCCAGUGAAAUGGGUUCUACUCAUUGAGAAUUACUUUAAUUACUCUUAUGUCCUUCCUUCUCAGUGGUUGUACCUGUGCCAGCGCUUAAAGCCGUGUGCAGUAUGUAUAAAGGCGUGGCAUAUGGAAUUUUAUCUCUUAACAGGGUAUUGGAUCACAAGCACCCCCAACACAAUCACGGGAUUGAGGCGAAAUAGACAUAAUAGCAUCCUCCCACGUAGAAAUUGUUGACUUUGAUCCUCAAACAAGAAAUUGUUAAUACCUAAAUAUAAGAUUCUAACAAUUUUAAACGGAUUUACAUAAUUAAGAAAAAUUUAUACAUAAUUAAAAAACGUUUAGUCACGUCUAAAAUUUCCCGUUGGAUAGAAUUAUUAUUUUAUCAAGAGCUUUCAUACAAUACCAAUGCCAUUUAAUGUGCCGAUAAUAAUAACAUUAUCUUAGCAAUGUAUAAUAACAUUUGGCACUUUCAUCUUUACGUUUGCCUUAAUGAGUAAAUUACCAAUUAAAAAUAUUGCUAAGAAGCUCUAAACGGCAUUUUGCAUUGGAGAUGCUCUAAAACAUGUGUUAAUCACACAUUUCUAAGUCUCUUAACUCUGGAUCUACUUCAUUAAAUCAGGAAUUGUGAGGUUACCAUUAAUAGUGAAAAAUGAGACACACACUUCCCAAUUAUCUUACUAUUAUAACCUCGGAUUCUCCGCCGGCUUGGCUGAAUCUAAGUACUGGGUGUGAGGGUUUAUAAGUGGAUAUACUCAAGGCAACUAAGCCUUUUUUUUUUUUUUUUUUAUGAAGUGAGAUCUUAUACUUUGAAAAGCAUUGGAAGAUCAACUAAAUCUAUUUUUCUACGGAAGAAGUGAGAUCUUAUAUAUAUAUAUAUAUAUAUAUAUAUAUUCUUGUUUUGUAUAAGUGGAUAAUUUAUUUUCCUAAGAUAAUUUAUUCCUAAGAAAAUCUUACUUCAAGUAUUUUAUGGAAUCUAAAAAUUUAAAAUUUUUAUUUUUAUUUAUAAUCUAAAUGUUAAAUAAAAUUUUAAUAUUAAUUUUAUAAUUUUAUACAAAUUUAUGAUUUCUCAUUUUAGUAAGGGAAAUUUUUUUUAAAAUUAUAUAAAUAUGAAUUUUUCUUCAUUAUUUAGAAGCCGUUAAUGUUCUUUUGACUCACACGCAUAUAAUAUCUAUCCGAUUAAAAUUGCACCAUUAAUAUGUUUGUAAUAUCUCAUGUUAAUGUUCUUUUGACUCAAACGCAUAUAAUAUCUAUCCGAUUGAAAUAGCACCAUGAAUAUGUUUGUAAUAUCUCAUAUUGAUCGGGGAAAAUAGAAGAUAUUUUUUUAUGCAAACCUCCACAACCCGCUUAAAGAACGAAGAAUCGAAACCAUUUAAUGUACGCGUCCGGACAGAUAGUAAUGGAGCAGAGCCAUUUCCAUUUCUCUUUCUUCAGGUAUGCACUAACCAGGAAGCACCCAACUUUCUCCCUUCCCAUUUUCCUUGUUGGAGUCAGCUGUCUUCAGUGUCCGUAUCUAGUUUUUGUUCCGCUAUCACACUCCUUUUUGUUCCGCUAUCACACUCCAUCUAGUUAUGUGCCAUAAUUCCCUUUGUCAUAUUCUGACGGAAAAACCAAUUAAAUCCUUAAUCAUCAAGCUAAAACAUUUGUUCUUUGAAACUACAAAUUUAGGCUCUAUGUGGACCCCGCAUUUCGGCUUAAUGCGUUUCCCACUCGAUGACGAAACUCGAUUUUUAUUUGAAAAAAAUUGAUUUUUAUUGAUUAAGAAAAAUGACUUGGAGUCGUCACUUAUUUUUGUUUUAUUUUUAAAGGGUAAACAAAAUAAGAAAGAAAAACCCUAAGUGUAACUCCUUAUUUUGGAAAAGGUGGUCUGUGAAAAACCGGAUCGGGUUCGGGGGUUAGGUUACUUAUCGGGAAGGUACGGUAAAGACCAUAGCACCCCUCUAAGUCCCUAAAAACGGGUCUCUACUAAUAAAAUGAAGCUAACAUGGCAACCAAUGAGAAAGUCAAUGAAUACUCAAAUCGAUCAUGCACGUAUGAGUAUCAGAAUAUGCAAUAGAGGAUAACCGAAGUGAAAGUGGAUGCGUACCUGAUCAGCAAACGGCAACGCGCUGAAAGAACCCUUUUCCAGUAAGGCUCUGUUUAGCUGUCAAUGCCUUCAAUCCUCCUCCAAUGUCGACAAAGCCAACCAGCUUACCCUUCUGAACAGCACCCCCUCCUCCUGCAGCUCCAAUGAACCCCUCCGAAGCUCCCUUCUCCUCUCCAGCUCAAGAGAUCACUCUCUCAGCCAAAAGAUUUCUCCUCUGCCCCAAAAACUGCAAAACCCCCACAACCUUCCAAAAGCAACCUCACUUUCUCAGAAUCCUUCCUCCCUUCCUGCCUCAAAAUGACUAAACAAAAGCUCUCCCCUCAAAAGAUCUCUGCAGCCUCCAACUUCUCUCUCCCCUCGUUUUUCCCCUCAACCCUCCGUGUCAAGAUAUCUUCACCUCUUUUACUAAAAGCCCAUCUCUGAAAAGCAUCUCCCUCUCUGAAAAAAAAUCCCCAACGGCAGCCCAGACCCCUUCUCCUGCAGCUGGCCUGCUGCUCCUCAACAGAAACGUACCUCCUCUCUAACGGCCAGAAUAUCUCCAUGCCACGUGUCAAACUCUCACUCGCUCCUCAAUUCCACCAUCUGUUUCUAUGACCACCAACCACGAGGCGACACGUGGCUCCUUGAGAGCCCUCCACCUGCAAAGAAUUAUAACCUGUAGAGAUGCAAAGGAAUGAGCCCCAAAUGGGGGUCUACACUCUAAUAUUAAAAUUUAUUUUUAAAAUAAAAAAAUAGAUACUAUAUCUAUUAAUGUUUAUUACUUAUUUUUAAGAGUUUUGGGUCAAAAUGGUCAUUUUAAAAAAAAAAAAUUGUAACAUCUAACCACUCUUUGAAACUUAUGUUCAAAUUAGGCUCUUUGGUACCACGUAGACGCCGUCUUCAUUAAAAAAUAUUUUUUUCAUCAUUUUAGUUAAAGUCGCAGUUGAUAAUCGCGAUUUCAUUUUUGAACUAAAGUCGCAGUUGGCAAUUGUGGCUUCAUUUUUAAACUAAAGUCGCAGUUGACAAUUGCAGUUUUAUUUUUGAAAAAACUGUAGUUGUCAACUGAGACUUUAGUUAAUUUUUUUUUAAAAUUUAAAAUUUAAUUAAAAAUUAUUAAAUUACAAAUUUAUGAUUGAAAAAUUAAAAUAUACUUAAAUAAUAAAUUAUUUAUAUUUAAAUUUAAAAAUCUAGUAUUACUUCAGCAAACAUAAAUUGAUAAAUAGAAUAUAUUAUAAAUGAAUAUUUUAUUUAUUAAUAAAUUAAUAAUCUUAAAAUAAUAAACUUGUAUAACAUAUAAAUAAUAUAUAAAAUUGUAUAAUUUAUUAAUUUAAGAUAUUUAAUUUGUUGUUUUUUAAAAUAUUAAUUUAUUUGUAUUAUGAUAAAUUUAUCUUUAUCGAAAUAAUUGUAUACUUUUAAGCUGCAAUUGAUAACUAAGAUUUCAAUUAUAAUUUUUUUUACUUUCAAAUUUAAUUAAAAACUAUUAAAUUACAAUUUAUGAUUGAAAUUUAAAAAAUAUACUUAAAUAAUAAAUUAUUUAUAUUUAAACUUAAAUUAUUUAUAAGAACAUGUUCAUAUUUAAAUAUAAAUAAUUUAUUAUUUAAGUAUAUUUUUUAAAUUUCAAUUAAUUUUUAAUUAAAUUUGAAAGUAAAAAAAAAAAAUUAUAAUUGAAAUCUCAAUUAUCAAUUGCGGGUUAAAAGUAUAUUAUUAUUUUGAUAAAGAUAAAUUUAUCAUAAUACAAAUAAAUUAAUAUCUUAAAAAACAAAAAAUUAAAUAUCUUAAAUUAAUAAAUUAUAUAAUUUUAUAUAUUAUUUAUAUGUUAUAUAAGUUUAUUAUUUUAAGAUUAUUAAUUUAUUAAUAAAUAAAAAUAUUUAUUUGUAAUAUAUUUUAUUUAUCAAUUUAUAUUUAUUAAAGUAAUACUAGAUUUUUAAAUUUAAAUAUAAAUAAUUUAUUAUUUAAGUAUAUUUUUAAAUUUUAAUCAUAAAUUAUAAUUUAAUAAUUUUUAAUUAAAUUUUAAAUUUUUUUAAAAAAUUAACUAACAGUUAACAAUUACGACUUCAAUUAAAAUGACGAAAUUUUUUUUUAAUAAUAUAAUAUUUAGGUGUUACCAAAAAAAAUCAAUUUGAACAUCAUAAGUCUCAAAGUGGCGGAUGUUACCAUUUUUUUUUUUUAAGGUUCAUUUUGACCCAAAACUCUAUUUUUAAAAUCUGGUUUUCAAAACAAUCAUGGAGGAUGAUGAGUUGUUCUCCAAAGACGUUCAAAUAAAUGUAUUUAUAAUUUAGAAAAUGGUAAAAAAAAAUAACAAAAUGGAAGAAAAAUAAUAAAGAAAAGAAAAGUUUGACGAUGAUAAAAAGUCACCCCUAGGCUCUUAAUGUCCUUAGCUGUAAACGUAGGGUUUUUGAUUUUUCACAGCGAAAGACAGAUCCGCACUCAACCAGAUUAAUUUCGAACGCGCUAUUGAGUAUUGAGCUGGCAUUUGCUUCGCUUUUCGCCUUUUCCCUUCCUUCUCGGCACUUUCAUUCAUACCCUCCCCCUCGCUCCUCUCACGCUGUUGGUCACACUCUCCCCACUGCCUAUUUUACUAUAUAUAUGAAACCCCCAAUUCAUCUUCUCCUCACUCCAAAGUUCCAAACCCCCACCAAAGCCAUCUAUCUCUACAGCUUAGCUUCACUGCACUCUAAAGUCCUAACUACCAUGGCAUCUUUCGUUCCUACUCAAUGCCUUUUACAACUCCUCUUUGUGGCUUCUCUGUUUCCAUUCAUCUCAGCAGCCAGGAGACUUGCUCAAGACCAGCAACCUCUGCUUCUUCAAUACCACAAUGGCCCUCUUCUUUCCGGAAAAAUCUCCAUUAAUCUCAUCUGGUACGGAAAGUUCAAGCCUUCCCAACGCGCCAUUGUUUCUGAUUUCAUUACCUCCCUCUCUUCCUCCAAAACCACCCCCCACCAACCCUCUGUUGCGGCGUGGUGGAAUACCAUCGACAAAUACUACCUCCUCAUUAAGUCCAAGAAAUCCACCUCCCUCGGUCUCUCCCUAGGCACCCAAAUCCUCGACGAGAACUACUCUUUGGGUAAAUCACUGACCAGUCGAAAUCUCAAACAGUUGGCAGCAAAGGGGCAGCAGAGCAACGCCAUUAACGUAGUCUUGACAUCUUCUGAUGUAGCCGUUGAAGGGUUCUGCUCCAGCAGGUGCGGAACACAUGGGUCUUCUCCCAGCUCCAAGACUGCUAAGGUUAAUGGCAAGAUCUCCAAGUUCGCAUACAUCUGGGUGGGUAACUCCGAGACUCAGUGCCCAGGUCAAUGCGCAUGGCCAUUCCACCAGCCCAUUUACGGACCCCAGAGUCCACCCCUGUCCGCACCCAACAACGAUGUGGGUAUGGAAGGUAUAGUUAUGAACCUGGCUAGCCUCUUGGCUGGAACUGUUACGAACCCCUUUGGAAAUGGAUACUACCAAGGUUCCGCAGAGGCUCCCCUGGAGGCUGCAUCGGCUUGCCCUGGGAUUUAUGGGAAGGGCGCGUACCCUGGCUAUGCCGGAAAGCUGUUGGAGGAUCCCACCACAGGUGCUAGCUAUAAUGCCAAUGGUGUGAAUGGGAGGAAGUACCUGCUUCCUGCAUUGCUUGAUCCUUCAACUUCCACCUGUUCUACUCUGGUCUGAUAGACUGAUACUACUAUGCUUCUCUAAAUUCAUUUAGUUGUAUAGCACGGAGAGGAUAAGCGAUUCUUUGUUUGUAUUUGAUUAAUUACCAUUAUGUAUUCUUUUUCCCGUCUGAAUAAAUGAAAUUCCAAUGUUUUCUUUCAUAUCCAAACCAGCUCAGCCUUCCUCUGAUAUUUUUUCUUCACAUCCCAAUCCCAAUCCCAACAAAAGCCGCACUGCGCCCUCCUCUGCUAUUCAAACUCGUCUGUGGUCAAAAUCAUUAAUGAGAUCCACCAUUGGAGAAAGCUUUAUAAUAAGGAAAGUUUUAAGCAAAACCUUUAGGACAUGGAAUGAUCUGCUGCUUUUCUCGUCCUAUAUUUUUAAUUUUUAAUUUAAGACUUGAUUUUCCAACCUCCUCUACAUGCCAUCAUUAUUUAUUCUGAAGUUGCAAUUGAAAGAAACGUUUAUAGCACGUUUUGCAGGAAUAUUAUUAAUAAUUUAA
This 65673-nucleotide long non-coding RNA is filed under the name Vitis vinifera (wine grape). Its description in RNAcentral is "long non-coding RNA (VVIN_LNC005936)". The record is from RNAcentral. Lineage: Eukaryota; Viridiplantae; Streptophyta; Magnoliopsida; Vitales; Vitaceae.